AGGCUCCCGCUUUACGCAGGGUCUGGGAGAGGUGAAUGUCGGCUAGCUUUACCCCCAUUUAUGGAGAGGCUGCUCCCAAGUCUCGAACCCGAGACCUACCGCUCAUGGACGAAGGCACUUGCCAUCGCACCAAGUGCGACCUCACAAAUAGGAAACGAUUAAAGAAAUAAAAAAAUAUCGAAAAUAUCUUAUAAUCUUAAAAUUCCAUUUUGGAUAGUAAACAACGGAAUUCGAUCAAAAUGCUCAUAUAUCUCAGUAAAGCGUCACACUUUGUUCCUGAUGUCGUCGUAUUCUACAUAACAGUGUGUUACGGGUCCAAAUCAGAAACCGGAGCCUAAGAAUGCAAUGCUUGAAUCUUACAACCGAUUGUACGUCUUUCCAACUAUUCGUCUCUGAGAUUUCAGAGCCCUGUGUGGAAUUCAUAAAUGGCCCUUCUUAAGACAGUCUUUUAAAAAAAUUGAACAAUGUUUUGAUGCUAAAAAAUAGUAAGUAAAAUUAAAACAAACUUUAAAACUCACAAUAAUUGUCGGUUUCUAAAUAUCAUUAAAUGCAUAGAAUAGAAGGCUACAAAAAACAACCCUAUUACAAAAUAAUCAACAAUUAGUUCAAUCUUAAGAAACCAAAUGAACAAGAGUUUCAAAAAAUCCAACAUUGAAGUUUCACUUAAAGAUGAUUCCUCGUGCAUACUUUCCUGCAAAAUCAUCAAUUAAACUUCAUAAUCAAUUUUGCCCCGAACACACUUUCAAUGGAUGUCAAGACAAGCCCAUUUAACUCUUCCGGCAACAUGUUUGAUUGUAAGUAUUAUUUGUAAUUGUUGUAGGAUCCACUUAAUUAUUAUUAAUUUGCUAAAAAUUAAGAAAAGUGGAAAUAUAUUUUUUUUUGUUUAUUUCAAAGAAAAGUAGAAAAGAUGGAAAAGAGACAAUUAUAGGUCCCACUUGAAUUUCAAUCAGUCACAUUUGGAUAUAAUAAUGCUAUAUGUUACAUAGCAAAAUUUUUAGAAUCCUUUAAUUUUGGAACUCUGUGCGAUCCAACAAUUCGAUUCUCCUCAAAGCCGUCACUACUUCAAUCAUUUUAGCCCUAUGUUCUACAUCAUUGCACCGGCUACUUUAGUACUAUCUUGCAUACUUCCCUGCUUUAUAUUAUCCCACUCAAUAAUGCAAUCCAAUGCAGUCCAAACUCCAAAGAGUUCUAACUAGGGUUUCAGCCCUUUUCAAUGAUAUAGAAACUUUCAAUCCAGGAGCACCACUAUUAUUCCUCAAAGCUGCAGCAUUGACCGUUAGGGACUACUAUUACUAAACAAUCAACUCAUUUUCCACUACUAGGUUAACUCUAUCAAAUGCCAUUUCGAACAUGGAGCCAUCGAUCGAAAAGCUUUGACAGAAGUCAAAUAAAUGUUUUUUUUUUUGAGUGAAGGCAACAUGCCAACGACUACAAGUAAAAAAAAUCUGCAGCCCUGUGAGGGGCCGGCCAUAUAUAAUUAUUAAAAAAUGCUUCAAAUUUCAAACCUAGUUUUUUCAACAGGAGGCAGAUUCUCCGUUUUUCAUUUUUUGUACCCUUGUAUUUUGUGUGGUCACGGUUAAGUCACGUCAAUAUUUUAUAUUUUUUUUAUAAAGCUAAUAAGACAAAAAUGAAUAGUAAUAUAAAAUAUUAACGUGACUUAAUUGUAACCACACAAACAGGAGAGCACAGGAGGGCACAGAAAGCGGGAUCUGCCCUCCUUUUCAACAUGGUUAUACUGCCGUACGAAACGCAAGUUGCGUAUGGAAUUGACACUGAUGGGGGUGGUGCCUUUGGUUAUAGGUCUCUAAAUUCUAUGCGAGUGACAUCCGUGUCAACCUUGAAUAUCCACCCCAUGUACACAGUGUGUGUUUUUGUUUUAAACUUAGAUUCCAGACAAUGAUGGAUAUAUAUUUUGUUGGAUGGCCACCAAGUCCAUUAAGAUAUUUCAUCAUUAAUUCAUGUAUGACAAAUGCCGUACGUGUUAAAAAAUGUAAGGAUUAUAUCGAAAAAUUGACAACUUAAAAUCCAAUAUAUAAUGAAUUGUUCUACCUAUUAUCACCAAGACUUUUUGUGAGAAACAAAAACCCGACACUUGUGUUAUGCAGGUGAUAAGAUACAAUUUAAAAGACAAUAUAUGUGUGGUUAAAAGUCCUUGAUAGUGCAUCCUAGCAUCAUUUGAGACACCCCUUUAUGUUCAAUAUACGUGGUGGAUUAAUCUUUGCCUUGAUACAUCAGUUGAGAUAAGAAAAAUCUAAAUCAAAUCACUGCAGUGGCCUUGGCUAGCUAGCUUAGGGCACAGAAACCACCUGAGUCAAUGGUGUAAUACAUAUGGUAAUGAAAUUAGGUUUGCUGAAAUACAUAUUCUUCCUUAAAUGUUCUGAUUGAAUUUUACUGGUACUAUUUUUUUCUCUUUUCUUUUUGUUGCCUUUUAAUCCAACAUCGAUUCUUAGUUAAUGGUGCUACGUAAAUAAGGAUCUAAUAAUUAGCAAAUGUUGAUAUGGCGGUAUAUAUUUUGUCCGAUGGAGAUUUUCUGUCUUGUUUGUGCGCUUGAAUAAUUAAAAUUUAGUAUUUGAUGCACUAUGGUGAGCAUAAUAAGGCAAAUUCUGUUGGUCAAACCGGCCACCAAAAGUACCACUCAUAUAACCUCAACAAUGUACAAAAAAGAAGGAAUUACACAGAGCCAUGGAUGGUUGGAAACUGAGAAAAUGUGAUAUAAUGGACCUGGUGAGAUUAAUGGGUUUAAUGUUUUGGCAAUGACUAAGCAGUGGUUAAGCUCCAACUUAAUCCAUUAAUUUUCACUAUGCAUUUUACUAUUUUAAAUGCACGAUAAUUAACAAUAAUCAACAGCAACAUCUGUCACCGGCCACCGGCCACCUUAUCUCGCAGUAAAAUUAAGAACUGCAGUUUUCUAAUUUCUAUAGCAACUGCAAUUAUCACCAUACACGUACAUAUAUAGUACUGAGUGUGCUCUUCUUCUCUUAUUCGUUUAAUCCAAACUGUAAACAGAGAAUAAUUAAAAUAAUUAAAGCACCAUUAAGCAUCGAGGAUAUGUACAUAGAUUAUAAUUAAAAAAACAAUUGUAAAGCGGCUAAACUGUAUAAAUGCCGCAACUCUAGAGAGGAUACACACUGUUUUGGUGACGUUGUAGUAUUAUAUUUCUUAGAUCCCAAGACUGUACAUUUAGGCUUCGCUCAUUUACUCGCAUUUCAUUUAAUCGCCACCAUAUAAUAAUCUAAGGAUUUAUGGCAUGACACAUCACCUAUAACUAAAUUUAACUUUAAUUAUUAGAAAUUUUAAAAAUUAAAUUAAAUUUCAAACAUAAGUUAACUCAAUUUUCCGUUAUGAUUUACAAUUCUUGGUUAGUUUUCCCGUAUUUGCCUCACAUCAGUAGCUAUUGGGUAUUUUUCUUUAAUUAUGAGAAUAAAAUCAAUUAAUCUAGUUAGUGAGCUCUAAAUUAGAAAGCAGCCAAUAUUUCAAGAACCUAAUAAUUUGUCCAAUCUUAUAAACAAAAUCAGAAUGCCCCUCCUCAUCAUCAUCCGCAACAUAUGUUUGCCACAAAACCAUCACAGGGAAUUCGAAAUUUAAUCGACUUUGCCAGCUGGGCCACAUAAUGAGAGAAGAUUAUCAAAGUAGAACUAAUGCAUAAAAUGCUUUUGGGAAGAAAUUGAAGUAGGGGGAGUCGUUGACAUCGAAUCCAAUCUCCCCAUCAAGCCAAAAUGGAAUAGGGUGUGCAUCAAUAUACUUGAAUUACAAACAGCAAAAAGAGUUAACUUCUGUUUGCAAUUUCUUUCUAAAUUUUUGAAAACUUAAUUGUAGUUAAAAUUAAACUUAAUUAUAAGUGAUGUGUCGUACGCUAAAUCGCUAAAUUAUUGUAAUAGUGUAAAUUUAACAAAAUGCUAGUAACUUACAUAAAGUCUAAAUGUAGAGAUUGAUAUCUUAUAUUUUUCUAGAUGGAUAUAUGCGUUUGGCAACAUUCGUUUGGUUGUGCCUGAAAAGCUGCACCAUAUUAAACAAUAUUCUGGUGGACUAAGGGCAGCCAUCAAUUUCACCAUUUAAAUUUUAUUUUCUUUAGAAUAGUCAAACCCCAACAUGUAGUGCUCACUGCUAAGGCCUAUUUUUCUUAGAAAAAAACUAAGAAAACUCUCUCAAAAUUGUUGGAAAACAAUUCAGAAAUAAACAAUAUAACAGAAAUAAACAGAACUUGAAAUUUACUAUUUUAUUUCACAAAAAGUAUUUGCUAUACAGAAUGAAAAGUAUACAAUAAAUACAGAAAUUAAUAUAAGAAUAUCAAUAGUACUAACUUGAUUACAGAAGGUAGAGGCUAGCGUAAAAGCUAUGUCCUUCGAACAGUAAUUCCGUCCCACUCUUGUGCUUGUGGUUCUAUAACGUCUGCUCGACCAGGAUACAACUACCUAAUCCUACAACCCGCAUUGGAUUAUAGAAUUCUAGCGAAUUGCUUUGUGUGUUUACUCUCUCUGGAAAGUUUGUACGGAAGAAAAGGAAGAAGAAAAGAUGAUAGAUAAUGAACUGAGGACUCCAGUUAUAUAGGCUCUUUCAUACCUCUUCAAAUACCUUUUGGAUGUAUCUGAAGCUUUACAACUCUCUACAAAAGGUUGUAUCUUUAAUCAAAACGUUUUUAAUUAAUUUAAUUAAAAACUUAAUUCAAAAUUGAAACUAAUUGAUCAGAUUAAUUUUAAUUCUUAGGCCCCAAGUGCCCCAAGGCCCAAGGCCCUUGUCUUGAUUAAUUAAUAUUAAUUUAUAUUAAUAUUAUGGUAUAAUCAUCAAGCCCAAUCCACAGAAAUGGUGGCCCAAGCCUCAAUUCCCAUUCCAAGUGGUCCAACACAUAACUAAUAUUGUAGAAGACAAAACAUAUAUAAAGGUACGUUGGAAUCUUGUUUUCACCAAUGUGGGACAAGAGUCUCAAAACUUCCAACAAAAAUGACUCUCUAACCUACUUAAAUUAAUGACAUGUGUUGUAUUAUUAUAAAGUAAUACAGUUAGAAAUACUGUUUGUAAUAUAGUUAGUAAGGUUGUUAGUAUUUAGUUAAAAGUAGUUAGGAUUUCUCUUAUAAAAACAGUAUGUGUAAUCUUCAUUUAGUCAGUUAAAUACAAACCCUAUUUCUUUUUCUAAACUCUCUCUCUCUCUCUCUCUCUUUCUCUCUCUUUCUCAAACUCUUUGUAUUCAUCAUUCUGUGUUCAUCCUUUCUUCUUGAUUUUCCCUUCAAUUCCUAAACAUUGCAAUGUAGUUAACAUGGUAUCAGAGCCACCUGGCUCACACCAUGGAUUCUGGUGGUUCCGCUUUUCAUUAGAUUUCAUCGUUUUCAUCAUUUUACUCUUUUGAAAAGUUCUACAAUUUUAUCAUUUUACCCUUUUGAAUUGCUGAUACUGUUAAUCGUCCACACUAGGAAUCUUUUGUUUUCAUCCAAUUCUAAUCGAUUUUAGAUUUUGGGUUGUUGAAUUCCUAUCUGGGUCGUGAUUGAUUCGAUGGAUUUGGCUCUGUUCAUGCAAAACAGGAAUCAAGAACCUCAAAUUUUCAUCUGGGUUUCUUUUAUUUCAGUCUAUUAAGAGUAUCGCGCUUGAAAUUUGGUCUGGGUCGAGGCCAAGUUUUGAAAUUUUGGUGCUUUUUCACUCGAUUGGAGCUUAUUCCUCUUUGGUCUUCAUGUUAUUCACCCUAAUGGAUGACCAGGAGGUGUUUCCGGGUGCAAACAUGGGUGGUGAACUUGCGUGUAGUUGCUCAAUGGACAGCUUUUUUGAUGACUUCUUAAGGACACUCAUGCUUACAUUCACGCCCACACUUGCAACACACCUGGCCCUGAUUACUUUCGAUGUGCUAUCUUGAAUGGUUGCUGAUCUCCGGUGUGUUUUCUGGGCUUUUUCGCUCAAGAACUGAAGAUUCAGGUUUCAUCUUUCUUUUUGCACUCUAACUAUUUGUUUGAUUGUCUCAGUGGAAAAUUCUGUGUUAAUUUGUGUAUUAAGGCUGAUUGCCAUUUACUAAUUUAGAAGAAUAUGAAGGCCGAUUGCCAUUUCCUCUAAGUGAAAGAUUGAUUAGUAGAAUUUGAAGGCCAAUUGCCGUUAAUUGAUUGAAAAGAAAAUGAAGGCUGAUUGCCAUUGAUUUGUUGGAUAUUUUACAUUUAAAAAGGCCGAUUGCCAAGAGUCUACUAGUUCAAGAUUCUGAAAAAGUUGUUCAUUUGUUGAAACUAUGUUCAUUGGUGAAGAUAUAUCGUCAAGCAAUGUUAAAAUUGAGAGUCUUUUGGGUUUCAACAAGGUGGAGGAGAAAACUUGAAAUAAUACAACUUGUAGAAAUUCAUUCUUUUGCUGCUGACUACAAUACAUAUGAUCUUCUUUGUGGCCAGAUAAGGAAUGUUUCUCCAAGACAUGCACCAUGUUGAUGCACAAAACCGAAGGGGUCUUGGAACAACAUAAAUCCGACCGUGAAUCUGCAAGAAAGUAAAGAACACAAGAUGUAUCGUGGUUCACCCCAAUGUUUGGGUUACGUCCACACUGAUAUUGUAUUUCUCUGUUUGUGAGAGGAUUGUGAGGGAGAUAGAGCUUUUUAUGUGAGGAUGAGCUUGAGGUUUGUGAGGGUGAGGAGGCCCUUUUAUAGAAUAAGGGCUCCUCACUUAUUACAUAUUUGCCACUCCAUUUAUUACAUAAUUACAUUUGAGUCUCCCUAGUAUUUAUACGAGAUCUAAAUACGGAGGCCCUAAGUAUGGUACAAACAGUAGUCCUCCAAGUCUUCAGUCCAUGUGUGGGCCGAAGUAACUAGAUGUCGUCUUGAACUGACAUUCGAUAUGAGGCGAUGCUCAAUCUGAAAUGAUGCUCAACUAGAAGUAGCACAUGUUGUGAGGCUGCUCUAUUUGUGGCUUAUGUUGCCUGGGUUGGCUCGGCUUGUGGCGUUGAAGGUGAGGGAGUCCCUUUUAUAGAAUAAGGGUUCACUCCUCAAUACAUAAAUGAUGGGCUAGAGUUGAUGCUCGCGGCGAGUCGGUUGCUCAGCAGGCGGCGAUGUUCUCUAAUGAUGGUGAGGGAGUCCCUUUUAUAGAAUAAGGGCUCGCUCUUCAAUACAUAAGUGAUGGGCUAAGAGUUGAUGCUAGCGGCGAGGCGGUUGCUCAGCAGGCGGCGAUGCUCUCUAAUGAAAGUGAGGGAGUCCCUUUUAUAGAAUAAAGGCACGCUCCUCAAUACAUAGGUGAUGGGUUAGGAGUGAUGCUCGCGCCGAGGCGGUUGCUCAGCUAGCGGCGAUGCUCUCUAAUGAAUGUGAGGGAGUCCAUUUUAUAAAAUAAGAGCUCGCUUCUCAAUACACAAGUGAUGGGUUAGGAAUGAUGCUCGCGGCGAGGCGGUUGCUCAAUUGGCGGCGAUGCUCUCUAAUGAAGGUGAGGGAGUCCCUUUUAUAAAAUAAGGGCUCACUCCUCAGUACAUGAAUAAUUUAUGCUCUCUAAUGAAAGUGAGGGAGUCCCUUUUAUAGAAUAAGGGUUCGCUCUUCAGUACAUAAAUAAUGGGCUAAGUCCUCCAAGUAUUUUUCAUGAGGCCCAGUUGUGGAAGCCCAAUAUAUGGUACAUAGUGUAGUCCCCCAAGUCUUCAGUCAAUAGAGUCUGUUAGCUGGAAACUUCAAAUUGAAUCCAUGUAUGGGCCGAAGUGGCGGUUGUUCAGAGGCGGUAUUUUUAUACCCUGCACUGAAGCUUUGUAGGUGAAGCUUUUGCAAGUGAAGCUUUGAAGCUGGAGCUUUUGUAAAUGAAGCUUUGAAGUCGAGGCUUCGUAAAUGAAGCUUUCGAAGCUGAUUGAUAUGAGUGAUGCUCAUGAAUGUUUAUAUGAGUGAUGCUUAUGAAUGUUGACAUGAGUGAUGCUCAUGAAUAAUGUUGACAUGAGUGAUGCUCAUGAAUGUUGACAUGAAUGAUGUUCAUGAAUGUUUAUGUAUGAUUGACAUGAGUGAUGCUCAUGAAUGUUUAUGUAUAAUUGACAUGAGUGAUGCUCAUGUAUAAUUUUGGAGUACUGGACGUACUUUUGAUCACCUGGUUGGUGAUAAUAGCGGCAGGGUGCCGAAUAAUUUUGGAGUACUGGGCGUACUUUUGAUCACCUGGUUGGUGAUAAUAACGGCAGGGUGCCGAAUAAUUUUAGAGUACUGGACGUACUUUUGAUCACCUGAUUGGUGAUAAUAGUGGUAGGCUGUCGAAUGAUUUUUUGUAGUACUGGACGUACUUUUGAUCACCUGGUUGAUGAUAAUAGAGGGCCUGGCUCUUUUGGGCAUAUGGGUCUUUGGCCUCCACAUAACAUUCCAGCCCAUUAUUUUGGGCUUUGCCAUUUUUUAUUUAUAUUUAUAUUUAUAUUUAUUAUUAUUAUUAUUAUUAUUAUUAUUAUUAUUAUUAUUAUUACCCUCUAAUGGGGUUAUACAGAUGUCUCCGAAAGAUAAAUAAAUCACAUCAUUCAAAAAUAAAUCUGACCUUCUGCUCAAUGGGUCACGCCCAUAAUUCCCUUUUCUGCAUGCCAUCACCACCGCAAUUAUGUCUGCUUCUUUUUAUCUUCUUUUGCUUUCUGCUUUUAGUUUCUGCUUUUCUUUCUGCUUUUUCUUUCUUCUUUCUACUUUUAUUUUUCUUUUCCAAUGCACCUUUCAAUGUAUCUGUCUCUGCUUUGUUGUCAUGCAUGUGCACACUAUCUUUUGCCGUUACUACUUUGUCAGACGCUCCAAUUUGCACCUUUUUGAGGGCCCAUAAUUGUACUAACACCACAUCUCAAAAUACUUGCAGUACAUUUCUUUCAAAUCCAGUGGUAAAUCCUUCAGUUCACCUUUCUCGAUUCCAGCUUCAGAAAGGAACUUUUUCAAGGUUUCGGAGAACCCAUUGUUUUCUAGGAACCGAGCCACGGCGCGGAGGAUAACAAAGGAACUAACACCUUUAAAUCUAGAAUCCCAAAUAGCAUAUUACACAAUCCAGAAUAAAAAUAAUCCGGAAUAGUAUAAUCAGAUAAUCUCAGCAUCCAAACAGCACAAAAUUAACCAGAAGAGCGGCCGGAGAAAUCACUUAUCUUUGGUGGAGACGCCGUACUUCUCCUGCAUCUUGGCGAUCUCUUCCUCUUUCUUCUUCGUGUCUGACUUCUUGCCCAUCUUCGCCUGCUGGUAGUAGAGCACGGUGAGGUACCGGUUCGCGACGUUGAAGCCGGAGAGGUGAUCCACCGCCGUUUUGGUGUCGUAGAUGUCCUCGUAAACGACAAAUGCGGUGCCUUUGGUGUCCUUGUUCGUCUCAAUGCGAAUCUGCCGUAUUGCGCCGUACUUGCCGAAGAUGUCGUACAUCUCAUUUCUCGAGAUGUUGAAGGGGAGGUUGCGGACGUAGAGCAUGCGGUUGACUUCCGGAUGGAGGCGGGUGUUGACUUUAACUCGAAUCUAGAGCAGAUGGAAGGCCUAUUGCGUCAUUCCAGAUCGACAAAACCUUGAGUUCUGCGUAGUUUCCAGGGUUUUCCGAUUCUCCUUCGGUGGUGGUAGUGGGGGUGGUAUUUCUUUUAGCUUUUGAGAGAGAGAAAGUGUAGAGAAAGAGAGAGAAAGAGAUGGCGUCUAUAAUCCAGUUGCGCCUCUGAUGGAGUUUAGUCUAAGCAAGAGAAGGUGGAUCGGAAAGUAAAUGGAAAAGCACUGGCAGUGAGGAGGACAAAUUAGAAUAUUGGUGUGGUGUUUGGUUCUCUUGGGUUUUUACAGAUUUUGCAAAUCCACGGCGAAGGUGAAAAAAUGAGAGAGAACCGACACAGCUUUUCGUGUCGUUUCCCACAAACGGAGCCAAAUGUUGAUGCACAAACCAGAGGGGUCUUGGAACAACGUAAAUCCGACCGUGAAUCUGCAAGAUAGUAAAGAACACAAGAUGUAUCGUGGUUCACCCCAAUGUUUGGGCUACGUCCACACUGAUACUGUAUUUCUCUAUUUGUGAGAGGAUUGUGAGAGAGAGAGAGCUUUUUAGGUGAGGAUGAGCUUGAGGUUUGUGAGGGUGAGGAGGCCCUUUUAUAGAAUAAGGGCUCCUCACUUAUUACAUAUUUGCCCCUCCAUUUAUUACAUAAUUACAUUUGAGUCUUCCGAGUAUUUAUAUGAGAUCUAAAUACGGAGACUCUAAGUAUGGUACAAACACACCAAAUAUUGUGGUGAAUAUAGAUGCUAUAACAAUUGUUUUUUAGGAGGCUUCAAAAGGUGGACAAUCCUUAUCAUUACCAAUUGCAUGUAUAGAAGCAGGAAAUGAUCACAGUUUGUCAAAUCUAAGGUUAUUGUUUGACAAGCAAUGCCGAAGUAUUGACCAUUGUUCCUGAAUACAGGUGAAAAGUACCACCAACAUUUCCAUGCAUACCAAGUGAUAACUGUGAAUAGUGCAAUUGUUGUUGUGGCUUGUUAAAUACUUGUGUAGGAAUUGAGGAGCACUUCCUUUCUUGAUCCGAAGCUACCAUACAAGAAUGAGGUAUUUGACUGACUUGCAUUCCAUGAGAAUCUAAGAAAGAUUUUAUCUCUGAAAAUUUUCUAGCACUGUUUUCAACUGGAUGCCUUGAAUUAGUCUGAACCUGAACUGUUGAAUGAAAGAAUAGUGCUUCAAUUGCUGAUUAGUACGCAAUUAUGGUAUCAUGUCGAUGCAACUACAUUGAGUCAAGAUUUUUUUUUUUUUUUUUUUUUUUUGAAACAGCCAACAAAUUGGUGUCCUGCUGGUGAAGUUACUAUGUAAGUCCUUGAAUUUCUGUUGUCUCGUCAUUGGGUUUAAAUUGUUCAUAAGCUUAUCUCAGCCUAUAAUUUCAGAGUCUAACCAACUCAGUUGUUAGCAUGAAUCUAUAGUAAGUCUGGUUAUACGAUGAAGUUUGAAGAAAUUGUUAACAGUAAAUCCCACGAAGGGUAAUCCCGUGUUUUGAGUAGGUAAAUCCCACGAAGGGUAAUCCUACAUUGAUGUUGAUUUUCAGUUGUGAAGGCCGAUGUCAUUGUUCAAAGAAGUUGUUUUUUUUUUUGGUAAAAUCCUCAAGGGGCGAUCCCGUGGUGCUAUAGUUAAGGCCGAUGCCACACUAUAGUGUGUUGAUUUUCUAUUUUUUGAAAUAUUAAAGGCCGAAACCAAGUUGAAUGAGAUUGUUGACAGUAAAUCCCACGAAGGGUAAACCUGCAAGAAAUUGUUAUAACCAGCAUGAGAGUGUGUUACAACUUUAUAAGAGGUUGUCAUUUGAGAAACUCUUGUUAGAGGCAGAUGAAGGGUGUUAAUUCCAGCUACUGUUAUUCUUCUACCAUUUUCAAUGUUCUGAUUCUCUAUUUCAGCAGAGGACUUACAGAAUUUUGGGCACUGAUAAGACUUUGAAGGCAAUUGAUGGAUAGAUAUUGAGUUUGUGCGUCUAGUCCAAGUAUGAGACCAUUGUUUGUGACUGAUGGAAACCGAAUUAUUAGCCGCAAGUGGGGAUCAUUUCAAGUCUCAGAUUGGGAUCAAGGAAAAUAAGUUGCAUAAGCAAAGCCUAUUUGGAAACUAAUGAAAAUACAUGUGGGGUACCUCCAUAACCAAAACUUGGUUAUUUAGAUCUGCCCAAGAAGAUGAAAAGUAAGACAGGAAAGGGGCAGCAUGGAAAAUUGAGCAGUGCUAGUAAAUUGCAAUUGGUUCAAGUCUAUUCUGUUUUCUGGGUUUUAUAGUAGCGAUUGUAGAUGUUCUUCCAAUCUCAAACUGGGUUUCCCCAGUUGAGAUUGAGGGGGAGUAUUAAGUAAUACAAUUAGAAAUACAGUUAGUAAGGUUGUUAGUAUUUGGUUAAAAGUAGUUAUGAUGUAUCUUAUAAAAACAGUGUGUGUAAUCUUCAUUUAGUCAGUUAAAUAGAAACCCUAUUUCUCUCUCUAAACUCUCUCUCUCUUUCUCUCUCUCAAACUCUCUGUAUUCAUCAUUUUGUGUUCAUCAUUUCUUCUUGAUUUUCCCUUCAAUUCCCAAACAUUGCAAUGUAGUUAACGAUUAUUAAAUUGAAGAGUACAUACAAUUUGGCCUAACUCUACCUACUAAUGUCGAAACCAAACCCUUGACGAUGGCAUGUAUAUAUCACGAUAAACUGAAGAAUUAGGGUUUAUAUAUAUAUUAUUUUUUAUUUUAUCAAAUGAUAGAUUUGUUAGAUUAGAUUUGCUAGUGGAAAGUGGCACACAUGUGCUUUUAAAGAUUAAAUUUGUGGAUCUUAAGGAUCAAUGAUUUUCUGCCAAUUUUUCUUUGAGAUUAAUUUCUUAUCAUUGCAUGCGGUGGCCUUUUAUGGAUUCUAAUUCAAAGUAAUCAUAAUUAGCACAUACCGAGAGAUUCCAUAAUCACAUAUGUCCUAUUUAAUUUAAAGCAUAUCCAAUGUACUUUUAAUUUUUAAGUUAAAUUUAAGGAGUCAUGCUCCCUAGUAACGCAUAGUUGUAGUUUAUUUGUUUAACUUCUUAAAUCUUAACCUAAGAGCUUAAUAAGUUCCUCCUUUAGGAGGUGGAGAGAAAGCAUAAUUGUAGUUUGUUUGUUUAACUUCUUAAAUUUUAGCCUACCAGCUUAAUUAGGGAGUUCACUGAAUACGCUCUUAAUAUAUAUAUAUAUAUAUAUAUAUAUAUAUAUUAUGCAUAAUAUCACUAUUCUUUUAUUCGGACGUCCAAAUUAUUACAAAGGGCUUAUUUGAAAAUGCUUAUGGAAAUGUAGCCAUUUGAUCGUGUUUGACAAAAAAAAUUAAAAGUGCUUUUGGAUCAUAGCAUUCUAGAGAAGCACCUUCCAAAUGCUUCUUGAUGAAUCACUUCCAAGUGUAGGACUUGAAUUUUUAAUAAAAAAAAUUCAAUGUGUUUAUGAUGAAAACACUUUAAUUAAAGUGCUUACAAGUAGAAAUACUUUCUAUAAAAGCAAUUUCAAAUAAGCCCGACGUUGCAGACGCAUUUCAUGUAUCGCUAAAUGCAUAUACAAUAUUCAACCAAACCAAUCGAACUCUAUAGCAAUACAACAUUAAAGUUAAGACAAUCAUUGGUCCUGAAACUUAAGCUCCUAUCAUUGGUCCCAAAACUUAAGAUCCUUAAAAAAAAGGGUGAGAAAUGAAGACUGAACCCAACACCUUAUGCAAACCUCUGAUUACCAUAUGCUACUGACUCUAAAAGAACAGAGCCAUAUUUAGGGAAUGAUCAGUCCCCAACGUUAAAAUCUCAUAAUCCGGCAAACCGAACCAUAGGCGGAGCCAUGGAAGGACUAGGAUGAUCCCAGAACCAUCUUGAUAUUUUUUACAUGAAAAAAUCUAGUGCUAUGCUUAUGAUUUUCAAGGUUUUUUCAUAGGCUCAGAGCCCCAAUCCGACGUUUUUACUCUAAUUUCUUUCAUUGGGUUUGAUUUGAGGUUGGUGACUCUUAUGGACUUCAGGCAAUUCGUUGCUUGUAAGCUUUGAGGAGGACUUUGAUCUGGGAAUCAAUAUAACGUCAAAGAGGUUUGGGGUUUAGGUUUAAGGAAGAGGAUGAUAAGAUGGACGCCAUACCAGACCUAAACAACGUUGGUAGGUUGCUCACGACAGGGUAGAUUAAUUUUUGUAAGAUUCAGUGAGCGUUUCGGAUUUCAACAUUUGGGCCCUUCCUAGACUAAAAUUCUGGCUCCGCUACUAAACCAAACCGUGUAAUUAUUUGAUGAUAAAUAAGACAUGGAAGGAAAAAUUGACGUGCGACAAGAACCCUAAUGGACAAUCGAUUAAACUUGGAGAUAAACAAAGAACCAAUAGGGAAUAUAUAUUGAGGUUAACUUCCGUGCUCUUUGGUACAUGCAGCAGACUUCUACAACAAAGAUAAGAAGGCACUAAUCGAAAUGUUUGUAGAUGUCAUACUCAACUUGAUAGGGUGGAAUGCUUCCCUUUAGUAUAGCAUGCAUGCAGUGACCCAUAAUAUUAAUUUAACUUUGCAUACCCAAAUGCAUUUACUCAUUUGAUAUCGAUGAGGUUUUCAGUGGAGGCAAAAGAGCAUAAUAUAAGAAGCAAUGCACAGGCAAUGCAGGGGGCCUGCCGCCUGCAUCCUGUGCUUCUUAUUAAUGUGUCCCUAAAGCUGUCUGGACAAGAUGAUCGAUUUGCUCUUAUCUGGUAUAUAUGCGCAUGUCCCCAAUGUUCAACUACUUCUGUAUGCCUUUUCAUUUCGACAAAUUAAUUUGGGAAAGCUCAUAGGGUUAAGGUACAAUAUUGUUACAUAUAAUUGGUCUCACACAAUCAUAGAAAAGAACAAAAAAUAUCGGUGACAUGAGAGAAUAUAUAUAACAAAAUAGAUCUUAGCUAGCUAGCUUGCAUGGUUGAUAUUUUGUAAAAUAACUUGCUCAUUUAUUGCACUGAAUUGUCACAAUGCAUAAGGACUAAGCAGUGCAGAUGUAGCCUUGUCAUUUGCUUCAUGCAUACAUGCAUGUGUGCAUGCAACUAAUUUCCUUGAGUCAAAUCAUAUGUUUAGACUUGGAACAAUUUAUUACGUUUUAGAUACCCUGCACUUUCCUCACUCUCUCCUUCCAAAUGGACUGACCGACGAUUCGUGCAUGAUCCUAAUAAUAUUACUAACAUGAUUCCGUAUACGCUUGCAACAAUAUCUAAUUCUUGAUGAACAUUAUCUGGGAAAAACUUUACUUCAAUAAAAAAAAAGUUAACUAACCUUGUCCCUAAUUUCCUUAACAUGCAUGCUAAUAAACCUUAUCACUACUUAUUUUUCUUCGCAUACUUUUUCUUUCUUCCAUUAAAAAGGGCUCGUCGAGACCAUAUGUUAGUUGUCCCCAAAAUCUUUUAUUAUAUAUAGCUCAUGGAAUUGACUUGUUGAUAGGAUGACAUGCAUUAUACACACGCAAUAUUAGAAAAGAUGAAGCUAUUGAACAAUGUUAACAAUAAUUGCUCAUGUGGGUCAUCAUUCGUUAUUGUUUGAUGUAAGUUUAACACUGUAACUUAUACAAAUAUUUAUUCAUCUAUUGACCAACAAUAGUUGUUAAUUUCCUUCUAAUUGAAACAAGAACAUAAUGACUCAUGGUCAUCAAGACCCUACAUUGUGAUUAAAUGGAGAGCUUAGAAUUUUCUUAAAGUGCACCUGAAGGUCACUAAAACUUGAGUGCUGAAAAUUAUUGUCCACUAGCGUGUGGCAAUUGGUUUUUUAUUAUUAUUUUAAUAUUAUUUAUUUAAAAUAUUGUUUUUUUAUAAAAUAAUAAACUUACUAACCACCUUACAUGUUUUUUGAAUUUCAUUUAUCAAAUUUUUAAUGCGAGAAAGACAUUUUGAGUAUUAUGGAAUCUUCACUAUUUUGACAUUCUCCCCUUUAUAUGUAUAUGGAUAAAGUAACGGGUUUUUUCUUCCUUGAAAAUUAAAAUAUAUGCAUACACGUUUUCUGUUCGAAAUUUACAAGUCAGACUUCGAGCUAUUGAUCAUUUUUUACCUAAAACCCGAAAAAAGUGAAAGAAGGAUUAAUUAUUACAAAAUCUUUCCAAGCUCCCCCAAGAGAUCUCCACAUGUGAGUGUCCAAUAUGAGGGUGAUGGUAAAAAAUAUGUUUUCAUUAUUAGAAUUGUAAAUUGAUAUUUAUUUUAUCCGUAAUCGAUAAAACAAAUUAUGUUAAAGGAUGAGUCAUGACUCAUUUUCUUUUCUAACCAAUCAAAUUAUUAGAUUUUGUAAACAUCCCAUGCUUAUCAUUUCUUUAUAUGGUUAUGGUCAAGAAGACAAAUCAAGAUCUUAUUCUAAUUGCGAUUAAAGUAAAGAAUCUGAUCAUAAUUGCUGUUCAUUGGCCACUCACAUCAAAACUUGGAUAGCAAAAAAGGAAAAAAGAAAGAUUAUGGGGAAAAGGCAUAAGAACAAUGGUAUACGUGGCAAUGUGUGGAUUAACGUCAAAGUUGUUAUCAAUUAUCCUCCAUUCCUUCAUGGCAAUGUGGAAAGGAUACGUCUUAAAGAGGGCCUCCAAACAAAGCACCGCAACACCUGGCACUUAAAGAGCUCCCAAGAUAAGACUUCUAAAGUGCGUUCGAAUCAAAUUUACUGUAGUAUAUGCAACUGCAGUAUAUAGUAAAGGGUAAAAAGCAUACAAAAAAGGGCUUCCCCUUCUCUUUUUCUCGUGACAAAAGAAUAAUGUGUGCAUCGACAUUGUAUGCUUUAACCUAGCAUACGGCCAUUUUUAGUUGAAUUCUAUUGUUUAUUAGCCCAAAACGACAUUUAAGUAUGAGAAUAUUUGUGAUAUUUCGUGAUUUUUGUGUGUUACUUUCUAUAAAUAGAUUUUUCUACGGUUUUAGGGUUGUAACCUUUAUAUUAUUCGAUCAAGCUUAGCUUUGAGUAGUACUCAAUCUGCAUGGUGGAUUACAUGCAUAUUAUUAGGGAAUUCUUGUUUAUGGUACUUUGUUCGAAUACAUGUUCUCUUUUAAAACAUCAAAAAACUAUCUGUUGUAAAUAGUUUUAUUAGAGGUGUAUUUUUUUCUUCCAAUAUUAGGCGUGUAUUUUGGGAGGACCAGAUUGGAAACAACUUUUCCAAUUUUUGUUUUAAAAUUUUGAAAUUGGAUCAAAUCAGAUCACAACUUUCAAAUUUGGUUCAGAAAUUGUUAAAAUGCAUGAAAUAAACAUGUUGGAUGACUAGUGAAGUUAGGCUAAUCAACAUUCUUUGUGUAAAUUAGGCAAGUUAGGCAAGUUAGGAAAUUAGGCAAGUGUUAGGCAAGUUAGGCAAGUUAGGCUUAUGUCCUAUUUCUUUUCCCUAUAUAUAAGUGUCAUCUUGUAAUUGUUAGAGGUAUCAAAUACACAUCAAAAUUCAAUAUGGUAUCAGAGCUGUGAUCUGGGAAAACCACAAAACACAAGCUCUAAGGCAGUCACGAGGUCAACCAUUCCAGGCAUGGCUUCUCAUUCAAAAUGGGAAAAUCCCAACCACCCACUCUAUCUCCACCACUCGGACCAACCUGGUGCAAUCCUCGUACCACAACCAUUGGUGGAAGACAACUACAACACAUGGGUUCAAUCCAUGAGUAUGGCCUUAACGGUCAAGAACAAACUUGGUUUUGUUGAUGGGACAAUCAACAAACCAAGUGAGGACAAUUCUGAGGAGCUGCAGCAAUUGAAUCGCUGCAAUAACUUGGUCAAGACAUGGCUACUAGGCUCCAUGUCAAAGGAGAUUUCAGGGAGUGUCAUCAACUACAAGGAUGCUCGACAAAUGUGGACCGAUCUGCAUGAGAGGUUCUCACAUGUGAAUAUAGUUCAGCUGUUCCAUGUUGAGAACGAGAUCCAUGAUUGCGUCCAAAGCAAUAUGAGUGUAAGUUCUUACUUCACUAAACUUAAAAGUUUAUGGGAUGAACGUGAUACUUUGUGUUCCAUUCCAGCAUGUAGUUGUGGAACAAAGAAUGAGAUGAACUCAUAUGUUGAAACUCAGAAAACCAUGAAGUUCCUUAUGGGAUUGAACGAAUCGUAUGCUACGGUUCGAAGCAAUACUCUUCUUCUCGAACCACUGCCUACGGUGAACAAGGCAUAUGCGUUGGUCCUUCGACAUGAACGCCAGACAGAGGUUUCCAAUGGGAAGAGUACACAACCAGAGGCUCUUGUCUUUGCAGUGAAGAAUUUGUCGCAAGAACCUACACCGGAAGACAAAGAGAUGCGAUGUGGAAAGUGCAAUAGAACCAAUCACAUCACCAAAAACUGUCGUGCACAUCUCAAGUGCACUUUUUGUGGAUGGAAAGGUCACACCUUCGAUUUCUGUCGAAAACGGAAAGCAGCCACAGAAACAGAAAGCAGUCGUCCUUUUUCUUCAAAAGGGAAUCAAGUUUCACAAAGUAACAAGCAUGAGACGUUGCCCAAUUUCCCGUUCUCUAAGCAGGAUUGCAAGCAAAUCCUUCAAAUGUUGAACAAGAACAAAUCAUCAUUUGCCAAUCAAGUCGGUAAUCAUUCUAGUCAUGAAGAACUUUCAGGUAAAGCCUUAUCUUUUUCCUGUAAAGGAACCGAAAGUAUUUGGAUCCUGGACAGUGGUGCCACGGAUCACAUAGUUUGCAGCCCUAGUCUCUUUACACACUCACGAGCAGUUGAAAAUCAUACAGUUGAACUGCCAAAUGGUUCUGUUGCCAAAGUCACUCACAUUGGACAAGUUGUUUUCUCUCAUAAUCUUAUCCUUGACAAUGUCCUAUGUGUGCCGUUCUUUAAAUUAAAUUUAAUAUCCAUCAGUAAACUAGCCUAUGAUUCCUUAUAUGUCACCAUUUUCUUCACCCAAUUUUGUGUCAUUCAGGACCUUCGCUCGGGGAAGAUGAUUGGGAUGGGAACUGAAAGGGAGGGACUCUACUACCUCGACUCAUCAAGGAAAGGAACAUGCAACAAUAUUCAAACCAUCGCACCAAAGCUUUGGCACCAACGCCUAGGACACCCAUCUCAUAAAGCCACUUCGUUAUUACCUUUCUUUAACAAUAAAGCUUGUGAUUUGGAAAAAUGUUCAAUUUGCCCAUUGGCCAAGCAAACACGAUCACCCUUUCCUUUGAGCUCUAUUUCUACCAAAUCAUGUUUUGAAUGAUUGCAUAUUGAUAUUUGGGGUGGUUAUCAAGUUGCUUCUAUUUCAGGUGCCAAGUAUUUCCUUACCAUCGUAGAUGACUACACUAGAAGCACUUGGGUUCAUUUGAUGAAACAUAAAUCUGACACAAAAGACAUUUUAGUCAAAUUCAUUCAAAUGAUUGAGACUCAAUUCAAUACCAGAGUUCAAAUCAUACGAAGUGACAAUGGCCCUGAGUUUAAACUUGAGCAAUUUUAUGCUCUCAAAGGCAUCAUACAUCAAUCUAGUUGCGUCAACACACCACAACAAAAUGGUGUUGCCGAACGUAAACACCGGCACUUGCUCAAUGUUGCUCGGGCUUUGCUCUUUCAAACUUGUCUGCCAAAACGUUUUUGGGGAGAUGCAAUCCUAACCUCAGCCUACCUUAUCAAUAGAACACCCACUCCACUUCUCCAAGGUAAAACACCCUACGAAAAACUGUUUCACAAAGCACCUAACUAUUCUCAUUUGAAGGUUUUCGGUAGCUUGUGUUUUGCUUCUACACAUGCCCAAAGGCCCUCUAAAUUCGACCCUCGUGCAAUCCAAUGCAUUUUUCUUGGGUAUCCUUAUGGUCAAAAGGGUUAUAAAUUGUUUGAUAUAAAACACAAUAAGACUUUUGUUUCUAGGGAUGUCGUAUUUUUUUAAGAUCAUUUUCCAUUCCAAAAUUGUAACACUUCCAUUGCCCCGUCUUCAUCAAACACUACACCUAUCCCGUUUGACUCGACCUCUCCCAUUGAGUCGCAUUCAAGCCUUGCACCAGCAGACAUAAACACCACAUCUCCCACACUUGCCGACAUCACACCACUAUCAUCUCCUUUACCCUCUACAACUCCACCACCAGAUACCUUAUCAACACCUCCACCACCAGAUACCUUAUCAACACCUACCCUACACUCUUCCCCACCUCCAAACACUCCAUCACCAGAUCCACCCCCUCCACUCCGUCGUAGCACUCGACCAACCAAACCUUCCACAUUUUUGCAGGACUUUCAUGUUGAGGUGGCCCUCCCAUCCCGUGUUGCACCCACAUCUUCCACAAGCAUGGUUCAGUCAUCAGGUACAUCUCACUCCCUAUCUCGUUAUUUAUCCUAUGACCAUGUCUCUACCACUCACAAAACCUUUCUCACCACCCUCACCAUUAUCAAAGAACCCACCAGUUUUUCGCAGGCUGUUCAGGAUCCAAAAUGGCGUGACGCCAUGCAAAAAGAGAUUGCUGCCCUCCAUGACAAUCGCACUUGGACUCUUGUGCCCUUACCACCUCACAAACAUCCCAUAGGCUGCAAAUGGAUCUAUAAGGUGAAGCUUAAACCUGACGGCAGUGUUGAACGCUACAAAGCACGUCUCGUUGCUAAAGGCUAUAGUCAAAUUGAAGGGCUUGAUUAUCGGGAAACAUUUUCUCCAGUUGCCAAGCUCACCACCGUCCAUGUCCUCCUCAGUAUUGCCUCCAUCCGUGGUUGGCAUCUUCACCAACUUGAUGUAAACAACGCAUUUUUGCAUGGUGACUUAUACGAGGAGGUUUAUAUGUCCCUACCUCCUGGGUUCGGACGAAAAGGGGAGACACGAGUAUGCAAAUUACACAAAUCCAUUUAUGGUUUAAAACAGGCCUCAAGACAGUGGUUUAUCAAGCUGUCUAGUGCUCUCAAGACUGCUGGUUUUCAUCAAUCAUGGUCAGAUUACUCAUUGUUCGUCCGAAACCGUCAAGGCAGUUUCAUGGCAUUACUUGUGUAUGUUGAUGACGUGAUACUUGCAGGUAACAAUUUGAGAGAAAUUGAAGAAACUAAACUCUUCCUUUCCCAACAUUUUAAGCUAAAGGAUUUGGGAAAAAUCAAAUAUUUUUUGGGGAUAGAAGUUGCAAGAUCUAAACAAGGGAUUGCCCUGUGCCAACGCAAAUAUGCGUUGGAGAUACUAGAAGAUGCUGGGUUCCUUGGUGCGAAGCCCUCACGAUUGCCGAUGGAACCAAACUUGUCCCUUACACAAACUGAAGGGACGCUCCUACAUGAUCCUUCUUCAUAUAGGAGACUCGUAGGGAGGCUAAUUUACUUAACCAUCACGAGGCCUGACCUGACUUACGUGGUUAAUAUGUUAAGCCAAUUCAUGACAAGACAAGCCGCGACAACCACACCACACCUUGAUGCAGUGCAUAAGGUUCUCAGAUACAUCAAACAAUCUCCUGGCCAGGGAAUUCUUUUGCCUUCUACAGGUUCACUACAGUUACAAGCUUUUUGUGAUGCUGAUUGGGCUCGGUGUAAAGACACUAGAAGGUCAAUAACCGGUUAUUGUAUCUUCCUUGGGCAAGCACCGAUAUCUUGGAAAACGAAGAAGCAAAGCACAAUAUCUCGUUCUAGUGCAGAGGCAAAAUAUCGUUCUAUGGCUAUCACCUGUUGUGAAGUUAUAUGGCUAAAGAACCUUUUGAAGGACUUACGAGUGAAUCAUGCACAACCAGUCACAUUGUUUUGUGAUAAUCAAGCUGCCAUGCACAUUGCUUCGAACCCAGUGUUUCAUGAACGAACGAAGCAUAUAGAGAUCGACUAUCACUUAGUAUGUGAGAAGAUUCAGAUGGGAAUGGUGCAAACAGCUUACAUACGAACCUCGAAUCAACCUGCAGAUUUGUUCACCAAACCACUAAGCUCGGCGCAAUUUGAGGUCUUACUUAGCAAGUUGGGUGUCAUUGACAUCCACACUCCAACUUGAGGGGGAGUGUUAAAAUGCAUGAAAUAAACAUGUUGGAUGACUAGUGAAGUUAGGCUAAUCAACAUUCUUUGUGUAAAUUAGGCAAGUUAGGCAAGUUAGGAAAUUAGGCAAGUGUUAGGCAAGUUAGGCAAGUUAGGCUUAUGUCCUAUUUCUUUUCCCUAUAUAUAAGUGUCAUCUUGUAAUUGUUAGAGGUAUCAAAUACACAUCAAAAUUCAAUAGAAAUUUCAAAAUUUGACUAAUUUAGGAAAUAUCAUAAUAUAAUUCGAAAAAUUAUAUAUUUUAUAAGUUUUUGAAUACACUCCAACUUUUUCAUUUAUGCAAUUUAUUUUUCUUUCUUAAUAUUUGGUAUAUGUAUAUGCAAAUAUUUGAUUUAUUUUUUGUUAUACUAGUAUGCUUAUCCUUUUUAAGGACCAGAUUACAAGUAACGCUCGGCCAGUAUAGUACAAGUUCUCUCUCAAUUCGUCCGACCCUCUCUAAGGAGUACUCAUCCUCCUUGCAUGGGCUUUCUUUGAGUCUUCAGCCUCCUUGGGCUCAAGUCUAUCACUUCCUUUGCAUAUUUAAUGGGUCGAAUGUAUAGAUUAGAGCUGCUAGAUGUUCCUCUAUUCUUUGGCCGACAUGUGACAACGAGAUGACAUAGUCAAUCGCCUUGCUUGGCCUUGGAGUUGGUGGGGACUCGUACUUGAGCGCCUACCUGUCAGCCUUUAUUUUUGGCGGCUCAGAGUUGACAUUUGAGUAGGCACGCUCUUUCUGCUCCUAGGACGUUGUGCCUUAGAGCUGUCAAUGACCACCUUGCCAUCUAGUGCUCAGAAAUCACCUUACGAGGAAGUGCUCGGGUUGAUUACUGAUUAGAUGCCUGAAGUCCAUGGGCUCUUUAAAGCAUUCGACUUCAUCUUUCCACGCUCAUUGAACCUUUUCCUUUGGACCUGUGUGCCUUUGGGUCUGUUGGGGUUGGAAAGGACACUGCGUUAACAAAAUUUAUAAAAUAAAAUAAAUACAAAAUGUAUCCAAAACAAACAAUAAAAUAUCAAAAAUUGUUACAAAAUAUAUAAUUUGAGUAAAUAACUAAAAAAAAUAAGAACGUUUCAAAAGUUUUAUAUCGAAAUAAGUUUAGAACACUUAAAAUAAAUUCAGAUCGAAAUUUCAGAAUUCUCGAAUCUCUAUAUGCAUUCCAAUUUCCGUUUUAUUUUUUCCAAAGUAUUCGGAUUAAAAAUUUUCAGUUCGAAAUUGGAAAUUUUAUAGUCCGAAUCUCGGAAACACCAUUCAAACUUGCACGCUUAAGUUUUAUUAACGUAAAAGCUAGUUUAAUUCCACUCAGUAUAUUUCAAUGUGAGAAGAGGCUUGUACAGGUUUUUUAAUUAGGGCUUGUCGCAUUAUGUAUAUCAAGGCCUUAAUUCGUGGCAAAUAUAAUAGAACUUUAACACAAUUGUGUACCCGAAUCUUCUCUUGAAAAGCAAAAGAUCUUAACAGAUUAUCAUUUCAAUUUUCCGACGGAUAUCUACAUUAUAUUAUCGGUCGAAUAAUACAAUCGACAUGUAACAAGUAAUAAAAUUAGUGAGAUAUAUAGUAAUUAGCAUAAGAGAGCGGUUAUUCCAACCACAAUGUCUUAUCUUCCUACCCACUUUUUUAUGAAAUUUUUAAUUACAAAUUUGUCAAUUUGUAAAAUGACUAAUAAGGACAUUAGUUACCCCUUUUGCAUUACUUUUUUUUAUAAAAAAGAAAAAAGAAAAGUUUGGGCGUGAUAACUCUCCAUUCCCAUCUCCUUUUCAUUCAGAGAAAGCAAAAAGAAUGAACUUAGAAGAUGAUGUUUCUAUGAAAGAAGUAGAUGAUUAUGUUUCCGUCGAAGAGGUAAAAGAUAAUUUCAUGUGGGUCAUCUUGAUUUGUCGAUAUCGUAUAAUAGAAGCGUAGCUCUGUGACUUUUUAUCUCUAAUUAUAUAUAUAUUAAGGGUUAUUUUAGGAAUAAUAUUGGGUGAGAAAAUAACAUUUAAAUUUUUUUAACUUUUUAUAGUAGAUGCAAAUAUAAUAUGAGUGAAAAAAAUAAGAUAACAGAGUGGGUUUAACAGCUCUCUUAGCAUAAUGACCACCAACCAAAUUGCUACAUGGUGAUUCCAAUUCCAACAAAAAUAUAGAAAAGCAUGGCAGCCUUUCAAUGCCGGUGACACCACCUAGAGACGAAGCCUUUUAUAUAGUAAAGACGACACGAUCUGAGCCACUAUCUUGUAUUAAUGAAUAGGCAUUUGACACCAAUAAAGGGCACGAGGAACCCAACAUUUCCUUUCUUUCUUUCGUAAGGCACACCACAAAAGAAGAUACCCUACAAAGAAAAUAAAGCCAAUAUAAUUAAAAAGAAAUAUAUAGGGUUGGUUACUUGAAUUUCUAUGCAUUCAACGCAUAAGUGGAAGAUGAUGAUGUAUUAGCAGCUUCAUUAAUCUUAAUUAAUUGAUCGAAUAAACACACAGUCUCGCAGUAUUGAUGAUAUGCAUUAGCCUUUGGGUGUCAAAUCUUUGGUGCCAUAAUGUUAAACAUAUCACACUGAAAAAUUGAUGAAGUUAAAUCCUCCUUUUAGUACUAAUUCUAACAAGGUUUUUUUUCACGAAAUUUACAUUUAGUUUGCAUAGGUGAUUAAGUUGAAGAUAAUAAAAGUGAACGGUCAGACUGUCUCAUCAUAAACUUUGACACAUAAUAUCAAGCAUACUUGUUCAGUGGCCAUGGCCUACAAUUAAAUAUCUUAAACAAGAAAGAAUCAUCAAGGGAACAUCUUCGACCAAUCUAAUAAUAUAGGACGAACGAAAUAAAGAUUAUGGACCACAGCAGUUUUUGCAUUCGAAAAUAUCAAAUAAGCUAGCUAGCUAGCAGCAUAGAAAUAAAGGGCAAUGCAUACUUUCUCUGUCUGGUGGUUCUAAUUUUGGAAAAGGAAUCGGAGCGUGAUGCUUCUUGAAUUAUAUCUCUCACCCUUUAUUGUAUAUAAUCUCAGCCUCAAGCACAAAGUAGUCUAAUGGCCAAACCAAAAGCAGAAACUGGACAGAAAAUUUUAAGUUACGAUACAUCCAACAUUUCCGUUGACAUCAAAUUCAAAUCAUAUCUAGUGUAUAAGAAAAAAAAUGGGAAUGUGAAUUUAUAAGUAGGACCUGUUUUUGGUCCCUUUCGAAAUAAACAUAGAUUUAUACGUUAAGUAUAAUAUAUAUACCCUUUGAUUAUUAGCUUUGCCAAAGCUUAUGGAAUAUUAAAAUACAGUAAUAGUAAUACAUACAGCAUAUAAGCGAAGUGAUUUUCUCAUACAUUUUUAGCAUCUCAUCGCACACUUCUCUUUAUUUUUAAUCAUCAAAAUGAAUAAGUUAAACGAAACCAACAUACAUGAUUAAAUAUAAGUGUGAAAAGUUAAAAUAGGUGUGUACGCUAUCAUUUCCUAUAAAAUUCCGAUCAUUCAAAAAUAGUGAUAAGAGGUUAACUAAUUAAGGCAUGAACAAUAAAAAUCUAUGUAUUUUUAUACAAACGAUAUUCUAUACUUAAUUUAUAUUUGCAGUAUAAGUUGAAAUGUCAAAACACAAGAAUAUAACAAAUGCCUUGCAAACACGUACCGCACCUAAGCCAAUUAGUAGGAAAGAAACACUAAUUUAUUAAUUGGAAUGCAUUACCCCUGGCCUAUAUGCUCAGUCCAACUCAGUUGGUUGGGGUCUCUUUCUGGUAGAAAUCGAUCUAACAAACAGUACUACUCAUUUUUAUUAUUAUUUUUUAAUUUAAUUUUUGUAGUAGUGAUCAGCUGCUUGCUUAAAUCUCGUGCCUUCGAUCACUUUAUAAGAAUCACCACAUGUCUUGUUCUCUUGCAUGUGAUCCUCCUUCCUUCCCCUAUUAAUUCCUCUCUCCCCCGCCAAACCUCUUCUCUCCUUUCCUCUGAGUCCCUCCAUUACCUUCAUCCACCACUCUCUGUCUCUGUCUCUCUCUCCCUCUCUCUCCCUCUCUCUCCCUCUCUCUCUCUUUCGCUGGUCGACCUGCAGACACCCGUUUGCCUAAUAUUGACUCUCUAUUUGUAUUUGAUCAUCGUAGUGCAACAUUUUCUGCAAUUAUGAUACCUCUUGAGCAGGAAAACAGCAUGUCAAACACUCCACCUAACAUUCUACUAUCUAAUCUGAACCGGCCUGAUCAGAACUGUUCGGUUCAUGCCGAACCCUCCGCUUCGUCGAGGACUAAUGUGAGCCCAUGUUUGGGUGACGACAUGGCGGACCAGCCCCGACCAACCUCGGCCAGAGCUUCAAUUUUGCACCAGUCGUUGCACCCUGUAACACUUAAGGUAAGACUUAAGGGCCAAUUAAUGAUAAUUCGCAUUUAAUAUUUUAUGAGUAACUUUUUUAUUAGAUAAUUUGACAUGUUAUGUGGGUAAGUAUGUAAUAACUAAAUUGUUUAAGAAAAAGAAUAGUGGUACUAUCAUAGUAGUUAUUAAGCUAACAUUUGUGUAAUAUAUGUAUUUAAUUUGACAUUUCCCUGCAGUUUGAAGAUGUUGGAUACAGCAUUAAGCUGCAAGCAACAAACGGAGGUUGUGUUGCUUCACAUAAGCCAAAACCAACACGCACUGUACUCAAUGGAGUGAGUGGAAUCGUUCUACCGGGUGAGCUACUCGCAAUGUUGGGGCCAUCCGGGAGCGGUAAGACCACUCUCUUGACCGCCCUGGGCAGCCGCUUGCCAGGUAAAAUCUCUGGCAAGAUAACAUACAAUGGCCAGAACUUCUCAAGCUCCAUGAAGCACAACAUCGGCUUCGUUUCGCAAGAUGACGUCUUGUAUCCUCACCUUAGUGUUCUGGAGACCCUAACCUACACUGCCUUGCUAAGGCUGCCCAAGCAGCUUACAAAAGAAGAGAAAAUAGAGCAAGUCGAAACGGUGAUAAUGGAGCUCGGGUUGAAUCGGUGUCGUGAUACUGUAGUUGGUGGGCCUCUACUACGAGGCAUUUCGGGUGGUGAGCGAAAACGGGUCAGUAUUGGGCAAGAGAUGCUUGUCAACCCGAGUCUUUUGCUUUUGGACGAGCCCACUUCUGGGCUCGACUCAACCACGGCCCAACGUAUCAUCGUGACGUUGCAGCGACUGGCCCGUGGUGGUCGGACGGUGAUCACCACCAUCCACCAGCCGUCAAGCAGGCUAUAUAGGAUGUUUGAUAAAGUAAUGGUGUUGUCGGACGGGUACCCAAUUUAUAGCGGGCAUGCUGAUCGGGUCAUGGAGUAUUUCGGGUCCAUUGGAUAUGAGGUCGGGUUCAAUUUCAUCAACCCGGCUGAUGUCUUGCUUGAUCUUGCUAACGGUAUGAAAUAUCUUCUCUCAUUAUUAGCGUAGCCUUUUUUUUUUAAGUUUCUAGCACUAAUUAUCAAAAUGUGGUAACUAUGCAUUUUUUUAUAUAUAAAAACAUUAAAGAUUCUGACGUACUACGUCAUCAAAAUCACAUUUUACUUUAAAAAAAGAAGAUUGGAUUGACAAUCUUUAAUUAACAUAUCGGCAUCCCAAACACGGAUAAGAAAACAUUACUCACCUUUAAAAAGAUUCCUAGAUUAUUACCUAAAGAUAUAUUUCAUAUACGCAAGUCUUAAUUAGUACAUGUCAACCCCAGGGCUUACCCACAAGUCACAAACUGGACAUAUGAUUAAUGUAAGUAUGAGGAACUUUUAACACUUAAUCAUUCAGGUACGAGUCCAUUUUUUCACAACAAUAUUAGUGCGUGUGAGUGAGUGAGUGGUCCACAAAGAAAAUGGUUUCAUCGCACCGACGGCUCCGUGAAUACAAUAGAGGGCAAAGGCAGACCACGGCUCUUAAUCUUAGUCGAUCAAAGCACAAAAAUAUUGAAAGGAACCUUUCAGCACUCUCUUAGCCAAGGAGGAUUCACAUGGACAUGUGGACUUGUUGCCAACCCUAAAGCCUAAUCCCAAAUUAGGGUUUUUUACUUUUUAUCCAGCAAACACCUAAAUUAAGGACUUUCUUAAGUACUCUGGAUAUUUUAACUGUCAAAACUUUGUUUAAAAAUAUAAAAAUUUGGAGUACCGGGUACUCAAAGCACCAAAAACUUGCCAAAGUCAAUGUUACAACUACAACACCUCUAUGCAUGUACAAACUUGUACAGUCUGAUUUGACCCCUCAUCCGAAAAUAUCUGUUUUGCAAUUUGCAUCAUUUUCAUUCAUCCGACAAUUUUUAUAAAGAAACUUUAGGUAUCGUUUGGUAUGCAGAUAGAAUAGGAUGGAACGGAAUGGGACAGGACAUGAUAGGAUGGAAAGGAAAGAGAGCAAAGAUGCCUUCGGAUGGAAACAAGGAGAAAGAAGAAGGAGACGGAGAGGUUAUAAUUUUGUGUUCCACGAAUGUGGAACGAGUCAUUUCAGGGGGUGAGACGGAACGAAAAUUCAUCUAAAACUCGUUCCGUGGAACAGCGCGUUCCACCCGUUUUAGGCGCAACAAAUGUAGGACGGAAUGUCUCAUCCCACUCAUUUUAGUCCCGUCCCACGUACCAAAUUGUAUCUUAAUAAAAAGUUUCUGGUACUGUUCAUUUUAACAAAAAAAUCAUAUUUUUACACUAAAAAAUCAAUCUUAGUACUAUUCACUAUACUCUUUAUUUUAUACUUAUCGUUAAAACUCAAAGUUUUGAAGUCAUUUUCAUUAAUUUUCUUUUUUUUAAUCAUCUGAAAUCGAUGUGACGGUGAACUCAUAAGUAUCUAGUUGUGGACAGAGGAAUUUACAAGCAACUAGGAUGUCAAAGGUAGUGUCAUUCCAAACCAGCGAUGUCAUAUGAUUAAAACAUAUAAUACAUUAUUAACUUGAGAUACAAUUACAUCGGGGUCCCAAUUGCAUGUGAGUUUGAUGAGAUCAAAACAAAAACAAAAUGAAGAACUUUAUAUCACCAUUCACCAUUAAGAAAUAUAAAUAUAGUGGGUCAGACAUUGUUUUCUUUCUUUGAGAUUUAAUCCUUUUUCUGUGAUGAUUGGUUUAAUAAAAAUCUCUUAAAUAUUUUUUGACAAGCAGGUAUAGCACCUGAUGCAAAACAGGAUGAGGAAGUAGAGUAUAAUGGCAGAUUAGACCACCAAGAAGAUCAAAACACAACCAAGCAGUUCUUAAUAUCUUCCUAUAAAAAGUAUCUAUACCCUGCAUUGAAGAUAGAGAUUCAGCAAACUCAUAAAGACACGGUUGUUUCUUCUUCAAGAACACCAUCAUCCAGAGGUAACCUCCAAUCAAUAAGUCUCUAUUUUUCAACUAGAUUUUCCGCUGGAAUAUUCAUUUGUGCAUGUAUACGGUAAGUAGGUAGUGGAAAUUACAAAUGGACAACCAGCUGGUGGGAGCAAUUUAGCGUUUUGCUGGAAAGGGGUUUAAAAGAGAGGAAGCAUGAAUCUUUCUCUCGCUUAAGGAUUUUCCAAGUCAUGUCAGUUUCAAUUAUUUCCGGCCUUUUGUGGUGGCACUCCAACAUUUCGCAUAUACAAGAUCAGGUACUCCAAUUUCCUCUCAUCUCUGCUCGUCUGUUAAAGAUUUCUUUUUCAGUAACUAGUUUUUGUUUUUCUUUAAAAUGAAAACUGACUUAAAAAACCAGGCUAGAUUUGGACUUAUAAUAAGAAGCAAUACUAAUAAGGUAGCUUGAACAGGUGGGACUUCUUUUCUUCUUCUCCAUAUUUUGGGGCUUCUUCCCUCUAUCCAAUGCCAUAUUUUCAUUCCCUAUGGAAAGACCAAUGCUGAUAAAAGAACGUUCCUCGGGCAUGUACCGUCUCUCAUCCUAUUUUUUUGCGCGAACGGUUGGUGAUUUGCCAAUGGAGCUUGUUCUCCCAACAGUCUUCGUAACAAUAUGCUAUUGGAUGAGUGGUCUCAAGCCUUCAAUAGUCACAUUUGCACUAACCCUUUUCAUUGUUCUUUACAAUGUGCUAGUCGCCCAAGGCAUAGGGCUAGCACUAGGGGCCAUUCUAAUGGAUGUGAAACAAGGCACAACUCUGGCUUCUGUGACAACGCUGGUGUUUUUACUUGUAGGCGGAUAUUACAUUCAGCACAUGCCGCCUUUCAUAGCUUGGUUGAAGUACAUUUCGUACAGCCAUUACUGCUACAAGCUUCUUGUGGGAGUGCAAUACUCGGUGCAUGAGGUUUAUGAGUGUGGGAUGGGGGUGCAUUGUAGGGUGCUGGACUUUCCUGGUAUUAAGUGUGUAGGUCUUGAUGAUAUGUGGAUAGAUGUAGCUGCAUUGGCUGUGAUGCUGGUGGGAUAUAGGGUUUUGGCUUAUGUGGCAUUGAGGAUGGGGCAACCUCACUGAGUUCUUGAAUCUUGAUGAUGAUAGAUCAGAAACUGACAUGCAGCAUAUUAUUGCAGCAAGAGAACUUGAUGACAUACGUUCGGAUAUCCAGUUUUAUCGAGUAAUCGAAGGUUUUGAACUGAUAUUGUGAACCAAGAUUUCAUGCAUUCUGGCUGGAGAAAGGGAAAUGAUAAACACACACCUUUUAUAGCUUCCUACACACCCCUGACUAAUCAUAUCCGUUGUUUUCGUUUGAUUUAUUCAAUCCGAUGGCCUGGAACAAAGAGGGGUGUGGGAAAAGUUAUAAAAGGUGUGUGAAAAUCAGCUCCCCUGGAGAAAUUGUAAUGAAUUGUAUUCCGUUACAAGGAAAUGGAUAUGAUGGUAAUGAUAAAUAGUUAGAUUUGUUGAAAAAAAUUCAAUUUGCUGAUGACAUGCCUUAUUCCAUUAUCCGAACAAAGAAAAAAUAUAUAAAAUAAAAAACCUUAAUAACAAAAAGGUUGUUUACAUAAUAUUUCGGUUCCUUUCAAAAUAUUUCGGCAGGUAUUGACGGAACUAAUUUAAUUGAAACGAGCUCGACAUAAUCGACCCAAAGCAGUAAAUUCAUACCCAACCCAAUCUCAAAACCCAUUAAAUAAACAGGGAGAAUUUUAAUCUGUAAAUUUUCCAGUCAAAACUAUCAGUCUCUUCUUCCUAAACUCCCAUGUCCUUCCCCUUAAUGUGUUUGCCAAAGUUCUAACUUAUGAUCCUAAUCCAUGCUUAAAAAUGGGAAAGGGUGAAAAUGUGAAUAUAUUAGACGAUUAGCAAAGAUUCUUCAAGUGAAGCUGGUGAAAGAAAACAAAAUGAAGGGAUCAAAAUAAAAACUUCCUCAACCCCACACCGAAACCUAAGGGAGUUGAUUUCAAGUUCUUGAUCGAAUUGUAUUUAGCUUCGUACAAAUGUACGUAGCCAGGUCUUCCGUAUCCGGAGCUCAGUUUCUUGAACUUGAAGGCUAUAUACCAGUUUUUCUGGGGGAUGCUACAUGAGUUUACUUGAACCACUUGGACUUGUUUAGGUGAGGUAACCAAACCGUCAUGUUUUAGCAAUUGAUCAAAGUUCAGAAGUUGUUACUGUUGGGAAAUUAUUUCAUUUUAUUAUUAUUGUUAUUUUAUUGGUUUUCUUGUGGGCCAAAGAUAAUGAUUCUUUGCCCAUCAAGUUUAUGAGUUAUCGGCCGUUAAUAAUUAGGGUGUUCUUUAGUUUUUCUCUAUGAAUAGGAUGCUCUGUAAAUCGUAAAAUAACAAGUUUGUCAAGAUGUAAUCGCUUCGAGUUAUAUAGCCGUCUCGGCAACGUUUCCCUAUUUUUUUAUUUAUAAAAUAUUCUUAUCGUUUUAUAUUGUCUGUGAUUUUCAAGUGCUACAUAAAGCAAUAAAUAGUUCUGCAGUGCUGCAAUAUGGUGUGUUUGUACCAUACUUAGGGCCUCCGUAUUUAGAUUUCGUAUAAAUACUCGGAGGACUCAAAUGUAAUUAUGUAAUAAAAGAAGGGGCAAAUAUGUAAUAAGUGAGGAGCCUUUAUUCUAUAAAAUGACUCAUCACCCUCCUCAUUAGGAGAGGCCAAUUUCUUAGGCCUGAGAUCCCCUCUCAUAUUCAGAGCAAAGCUCUCUCCCUCACAAUCCUCUCAGAGAAAUACAAUAAUCAGUGUGCACGUAGCCCAAACAUUGGGGUGAACCACGAUACAUCUUGUUUAUUUACUUUCUUGCAGAUUCACGGUCGGAUUUACGUUGUUCCAAGACCCCUCCGGUUUUGUGCAUCAACAUUUGGCGCCGUCUGUGGGAAUUGACACAAAAAACUAUGUCGGUUCUCUUUCAUUUUCUCACCUCUGCCGUGAAUUUGCAAAAAAAAACCAAAUUCCAUAAAUCCCAGAAAAACCCAAAUCCCAGUUUUCAAAUCCCAUUGCAAAGUUCCCAUAUUUUAUGUUUUCUGAGUAGUUUUCAAGAACAGUUUUUUAGUACAAUCAAAACCCAGUUCAGAAACCCAUGGACACCAAAAUCGGUUCCAUCGACGUCUACAAGCCUACAUGCACUGACGUCAGCAGCCUACCGAAUGACGCCGCUCUCCUGUUCGUUUUCUGCAGCUCGUAGUCGCUGUCUAUUUCAGAUUGUGCCAGUAAAACUCUCUUGACAAGAGCUUCCAUUGCAUCUGUAACCAUCUGAACAGAUUUAAAAAGUUCACCAAUAUAAGCCGCAUCUUGUUCAUCCAGAGGAUCAUGUGGACUCUUGCACUCGACCGCCGGCCACAUCGCUUUUUCACUAGAAUCUCAGCAAGCCACCGUCCUCCAUUUCUCUCUCUCUGGCCAUGGACUCGGGAAAGCAACCUCUGAAAAAGCGGAAGCUGCACGAAUCCCAACCAGAACUGCCUUCAUCGCCGUCAUUAUUACAACCACCGCCACCACUGCAAACCCUAGCUCCGCAAUCUCUGUCUCAAAAGGAGAUAGAGUCGCUAAAGAACGAUUCGGGAAGCUGAACACGGUUGUGAUGAACGCGGUCGUGGAGGCUUGUGUACAUUUCGGCGAUAUUGACUCUGCACUCAUGUUGUUCGACGAAAUGGCUGAGCCAGGAAACUGUGGCGUUGAUACUAUCACAUAUGGAACCAUUUUAAAGGGUUUGGGCGUGGCACGGAGAAUUCAUGACGCAUUUUAUGUACUUGAAUCUGUGGAGCGAGGCACUGCAGUGGGAAGUCCGAAAUUGUCAGCACCUCUUGUUCUUGGUCUGCUCAAUGCUCUAGUUGAAGCAGGAGAUUUACGCCGCUCUAAUGGGCUUCUUCAUCAUUAUGGUUUUCUCCUUCGCGAAGGUGGCAGUCUUACAGUCAGAGUCUACAACUUACUAAUGAAGGUUCUGCUCUCACGUCGAAGCUCGAGCAAGCUUAUCUCUCUUUCAUCGUUGCUUCCAGAGGUUGUACGAGUGUACAACGCAUUGUUGUUGAUCUCAUUCCUCGGUAUGUUUCAAAAUGUCCAACUGCCCUUGAAGCAGCAGGGAAAAUUGUUAUAAAUAUGUAUAAUUGGAGCAGGGCAGUAAUAAAGAGAGGAGAGGAUGCUGAUGAUGUUGCAUUUCAGACUAGUAAAUCUUGUGUUCUUGGUCUAGCUGAUAUUUGCUGCACUGCAUCUUCAGUGGCGCCAACAUCAUCCGUCAUUCAGGGGAUUUGCUCUGCAGUUUUCCAAGCUACAGUUUAUCUAGCCUCAGGUUCCAUGCAUGUCUGGAUUUCCUGCGGGAGGCAAGCACGGACCAAUGAUCAAACUUCAAGGGGUGCAGUCAUGUGUUCACAUGUCGAAAAGGCAGAAAGUGAAAAGGAAAAAGAAAAAAAAAGGUUGCGGAUGAGUAUGUCUGCAGGUGAAAAGAAAAAGCAUGCAUUUAUCCCCCAGAUUCCACCACAAAAGCACAUGGGUAAAGGAUGGGUACCUCAUAUUCAAAGCCAUUAAUGCAAUUUGACUCCACCAUUGGUCCUACGCACCUCAGAUCCCAUCUCUGCGAAUAACACUGGAAAAGCAAAAGCAGAGAUAAGAUUUUUUUUUUCUUUUCUUAUUAUUCAUUCUAUUAAUCUUUCCUUGUCUGCCAUCUGCAAAAGGGAAAAGAAAAAGAAAAAGCAGAAAGCAAAAGAAGAUAAGAAGAAGUAGACAUAAUUACGGUGGUGAUGGCAUGCAGAAGAGGGAAUUAUACGCGUGACCCAUUAAGCAGAGGGUCAGAUUUAUUUUUGAAUGAUGUAAUUUAUUUUUCGUAUCUUUCGGAGAUAUAUGUAUAACCCCAUCAUAGGGUAAUAAAACAAAUAAAAAAAACGGCAAGCCCAAAAUAAUGGGCUGUAAUGUUAUGUGGAGGGCAAAAACCCAUAUGCCUAAAAGAGCCAGGCCCUCUAUUAUCACCAACUAGGUGAUCAAAAGUACGUCCAGUACUCCAAAUUUAUUCGGCACCCUGCCGCUAUUAUCACCAACCAAGUGAUCAAAAGUACGCCCAGUACUCCACAAUUAUUCGGCACCCUGCCGCUAUUAUCACUAACUAGGUGAUCAAAAGUAUGUCCAGUACUCCAAAAUUAUACAUGAGCAUCACUCAUGUCAAUCAUACAUAAACAUUCAUGAGCAUCACUUAUGUCAAAUCAUACAUAAACAUUCAUGACCAUUAUCCAUGUCAACAUUCAUGAGCAUCACUCAUGUCAAUCAGCUUCAAAAGCUUCAUUUACAGAGCUUUAGCUUCAAAAGCUUCAUUUACAGAGCUCUAGCUUCAAAAGCUUAAUUUACAGAGCUCUAACUUUAAAAGCUUAAUUUACAGAGCUCUAGCUUCAAAAGCUUCAUCUACAAAAGCUCCAGCUUCGAAAGCUUAAUUUACAGAGCUCUAGCUUCAAAAGCUUCAUCUACAAAAGCUCUAGCGUCGAAAGCUUAAUUUAUAGAGCUCUAGCUUCAAAGCUUCACUUGCAAAGCUUCACCUACAAAGCUUCAGUGCAGGGUAUACAAAUCCCGCCUCCGAACAACCACCACUUCGGCCCAUACAUGGAUUCAAUUUGAAUUCUCCAGCCAACAGACUUUACUGACUGAAGACUUGGGGACUACAUUAUGUACCAUAUAUUGGGCCUCAACUAGGCCUCAUGAAAAAUACUUGGGGAACUUAACCCAUUAUUUAUGUACUGAGGAGUGAGCCCUUAUUCUAUAAAAGGGACUCCUUCACUUUUAUUAGAGAGCACCCAUUAUUCAUGUACUGAGGAGCGAACCCUUAUUUUAUAAAAGGGACUCCCACACCUUCAUUAGAGAGCAUCGCCGCCAGCUGAGCAACCGCCUCACCGCGAACAUCACUCCUAACCCAUCACUUAUGUAUUGAGGAGCGAUCCCUUAUUCUAUAAAAGGGACUCCCUCACCAUCAUUAGAGAGCAUCGUUGCCUACUGAGCAAUCGCCUCGCCGGGAGCAUCAACUCUAGCCCACAAUUUAUGUAUUGAGGAGCGAGCCCUUAUUCUAUAAAAGGGAUUCCCUCACCAUCAUUAGAGAGCAUCGCCGCCUACUGAGCAACCGCCUCACCGCGAGCAUCAACUCUACCCCACCAUUUAUGUAUUGAGGAGCGAGCCCUUAUUCUAUAAAAGGGUAUUUCUCACCUUCAAACGCCCCAAGCCGAGCCAACCAAGGCAACAUAAGUCACAAGCCGAGCAGCCUCGCAACAUGUGCUACAUCUAGUUGAGCCUCAUUUCACAUUGAGCACCGCCUCAUAUCGAGUAUUCAGUUCUAGACGACAUCUAGUUACUUCGGCCCACACAUGGACUGAAUUUCAAGUCUUCAGCCAAAAGACUCUCUUGACUGAAGACUUGGGGGACUACUGUUUGUACCAUACUUAGGGCCUCCAUAUUUAGAUCUCAUAUAAAUACUCGGGGGACUCAAAUGUAAUUAUGUAAUAAAGGAAUGAGCAAAUAUGUAAUAAGCGAUGAGCCCUUAUUCUAUAAAAUGACUUUUCACCCUCCUCAUUAGGAAAGGCCAAUUUCUUAGGCCUGAGAUCCCCUCUUAUAUUUAGAGCAAAGCUCUCUCCUUCACAAUCCUCUCAGAGAAAUACAAUAAUCAGUGUGGACGUAACCCAGACAUUGGGGUGAACCACGAUACAUCUUGUGUUAUUUACUUUCUUGCAGAUUCACGGUCGGAUUUACGUUGUUCCAAGACCCCUCGGUUUUGUGCAUCAACAUGGUGCAUUUCAUGAGCUUGGCUGACUUUUUACUUGCUUUAUGCAGUAAAAAGUUCUGUAGUGCUUCAUAUUUGAAAAUGUACGCGCCUAACCUUCAGACAAUUAUUGAAUUGCAAAUUUACCAAAAUUUCAAACGAGACCAUCCAUGUUAGUCGACAUGCACGGAUUUAUUAAGGACGAAAGUGUAAAUAUCUCCUCAUUAGAUAAAACUUAGAGACUAAGUAAUUGUUACAGGUUUGUUAGGACAGUUAGUCAUUGUUGGACUUAGUUAGGACAUUUUGUUAGACUUGGUUUACAUGUAUAUAUACUCAAAUGUAAUCUUAUUGUUUUUUUAUGAAAUGAAAAAUACAUUUCUAAUAUGGUAUCACCGCAUUUUUUGGUCUAACGACCGCCUUUCUUUCUCGAUCCCAACGUUUUCGUUUCCUACUCUGAUCUUCUUUUCCGAUUUGCCUCAUCUUUGCUUGCUGCCUUCAAACCCUAGCCAUGGCGAUUGGUGCGACUGGUGCAUCUCCAUUAUCUGAUGCAGAUUCUCAUGUUCAUCUCUCUCAUUCGGAGAUUCCAAGCCCUAAUUCCUCUGCAAUUACCUCAAUCACAAUUCAUAAUAUUGGAUCUUUAGUUCCGAUUAAGCUCACUACUACGAAUUAUCUGACUUGGAGUGCUCUUUUCGCUCCGAUCUUCUGUCAAUAUAAUCUCCGUGGUUUGAUCGAUGGAUCCAUGGGGGCACCGCCUAAAUUUCUUUUUGAUGCCUUAGGAAAUCGUACCACAACCUUGAAUCCAGAAUUUGUGACUUGGUUCGAGAAUGAUCAGAACAUUCUCAUCUGGUUAAAUUCAACGCUCUCGGAGUCUCUUAUUCCCUUCACUGUUGGCGUUACAUCUGCUCGUGAGCUUUGGGCUAAAUUGGAAUCACGUCUUGCCACUGCCUCUCAGUCGCAUAUUCAUGAGUUCCAUUCUCGCCUUCUCAAUCUUUCCAAAGGUGAAUCCACUGCUGCUCAAUAUCUCCAGAAAAUUGAAGAAAUUGCUGAUGCACUUGCCAGUGCUGGAGCACCGGUUGAUGAUUCUGAUCUCAUCUCCGUCAGUCUCCAUGGCUUGCCUCCUGAAUUUGAUUCGUUUGUGGAUGCGAUACAAUUCCGACUUGGAUCUACAACGAUUGAUGAACUUCAUGACCUGUUGAUAAGCAAAGAGAUUCAACUCAAUCGUCGUAAGAAAUUGUCAUAUGCGACACCUUUUCAAGCUUUUUCAUCGUCUGCUGGUAUUCUGCCUACACUGUCACACCCAAACCCUAAUUCUCAAGCCUUCACUGCUCAGAAUUUCUCAAAUUCUACAAACAACAGUCGUGGCAUGGAUCGAAAUUCCAGAAAUUAUUCUCAAAAUCGAGGCAAUUUUCGUUCAAACAACAAUCACAAUUAAUGGCAGAAUUCAUAUCACAACAACAAUCAGCGGCAACGCUACAAUAAUAAUCGUGGAUGUCGAAACACUUUUCAACUUUUUGGCAACAAAGUUCAUUGUCAAAUCUGGAGACAAUUUGAUCACGAAGCUUGGAAUUGUCUUCAUUGCAUAAAUGCAAUUUACAGUGCUCCAUCAUCUCACUCUGCAAUGGUGGCCAACACCUCCAAUUCUGCUCAUACUUGAAUUGUAGACUCAGGUGCUACUUCUCACAUGACCAACUCAUCUGGCAAUCUUCAGAAUUCAGAAGCCUAUAGAGGACUUGAACAAGUUACAUUGGCAAUGGAAAAGGUUUACCUAUCUCUCAUUCUGGAUCUUCUAUUUUGCCUACUGCACAUUAUAAUUUUCACUUACAUAAUGUGCUUCAUGUCCCUGCUCUUAAGCAAAAUCUACUUUCUGCAAAUCAAUUUUUUAUUGAUAACUGGUGCUUAAUGCAUCUUUAUCUUUUUCACUUCACUGUGAAGGAUCUUUCUUCAGGGAUGAUGCUUUUUAAAGGUCCUGUCAGAGAAGGUUUCUAUUAUUUUCAUUCCUUUUCAUCUCAUGUUGUGCAUUCUAAAGCUUUGACUGCAACUAUUAAAGCUUCCAAUAAAGUGUGGCAUCAAAGGUUGGGCCACCCCUUUGUGAAGAUUUUACAUAAAUUGGCUGCAAUAUCAUGUAUCUUAGUUUCUCAUAGUAAAAAUAAGUCUUUUUGCUUCAAAUGUGCAUUAGGCAAGUGUUCUAGACUUCCUUUUGUAUCUGUAACUUGCACUACCAGUAAACCUCUAAAGCUUAUUCACACUGAUGUUUGGGGGCCUGCACCUGUGUCUUCUCUUCAUGGCUUUCGAUAUUAUGUACUUUUUGUGGAUGAUUACACCAAGUAUACUUGGUUUUUCCCUUUGAGAUACAAAUCUGAGGUAUUCUCUAUAUUUGUUAACUUCAAGAAUCUUGUUGAAAACUCUCUAUGUACUAAAAUCAUUGCACUUAGAUCUGAUUCUGAGGUUGAGUUCUUGAGUAGUUCUUUCUCUCAAUUUUUGAUUGCCAAUGGCAUUCAACAUCAGCUUAGUUGUCCUCAUACAUCUAAGCAAAAUGGGUGUGCAUAACGGAAACAUAGGCACUUGGUUGAAACUGCAAGGACUUUGUUGGCAGCUUUUCGUGUUCCUCAUUUCUAUUGGGUUGAUGUAUUUGCAACUACAAUUUAUCUGAUCAAUCGAUUACCUACUGCCUUCAAAUUUUCACCUUGGGAGUUAUUAUUUCAACGGUUGCCAAAUUACAGUACUCUUCGAGUUUUUUGUUGUGCUUGCUUCCUUUGGUUACAACCAUACUCUCAUUCCAAGCUACAUUCGAAGAGCAAAUUAUGUGUUUUCAUGGGAUAUAGCUUGCAUCAUAAAGGAUAUAAAUGUCUUGACCCUGUGACCAAGAAAGUUUACACAUCCCGGCAUGUAGGCCUGGCAAUUCCUGACACGACCCGAUAACCCGACACGACACGACAUGAAAUUAACAGGUGUUCGGGUCGACACGAUAACGAAACGGGUCAUUAUCGGGUAACCCGAUAAGCACCUGUUAAGAUAACGGGUUUGUUUGGGUAUACACGUGGGUAACACGAUACACGAUAAGCAGAAUAUUAAUUUAAUAAUUUAUAACCCUAAAAAAAUACUAUAAUAAUUAUAUAUAUAUAUAUAUAUAUUAAUUUAACAAUUUUAUACCCCUAAAAACUAUAAUAAUUAUAUAUAUAUAUAUUAAAUUAACUAUAAUAAUUAUACCCAAAAUAUUAACUAUAAUAAUUAUAUAUAUAUAUAUAUAUUAAAUUUUAUACCCCUAAAAACUAUAAUAAUUAUACAUACAAAAUAAAUAGAUUUAAAUCUACUUAAUAAAUAAAUACAUAUACACACACACACACACACCAUUGAACUUCAUGGGAUACGAAUUAUACGAAACUAAUUUCAACGAUCCAACCGUCAAACAUAUUUGUAUAUACUUCGAGAUCGUAUACGUCAAAAAUUGCAAAAAACAAACAUUCAGAGACCAAGUAACGGGAAAAAACUUUUCGACGGUUAUAAACGAAAAAUCACGAUUUAACGGUCAUUUUAACUCCGAUUUUGAUGAUUUUUUACAACCACACUCCUUGACCCUAUAUGAAUACAAUGAUUGAAUUCAAUCUUCAAUUUAAAAUAUUUACACUAGUGGAUACCACAAAAUCUUAUGUUAUACUUAAUAAAAGUAUGAAUAAACUCUUAAGUAUUAGUGAAUCUAUUGUUUUGAUGGGAUACUCAUUCUACAAAACUAGUUUCAAUGAUCCAACCGUCAAACAUGUUUGUAUAGGCUUCGAGAUCGCAUACGCCAAAAAUUGCAAAAAACAAACAUUCAGAGAUCAAGUAAUGGGACAAAAGUUUUCGACGGUUAUAAACGAAAAAUCACGAUUUAACGGUUAUUUUAAUUCCGAUUUUGAUGAUUUUUGACAACUACACUCCUUGACCCUAUAUGAAUACAAGUAAUGAAUUCAAUCUUCAAUUUAAAAUAUUUACACUAGUGGAUACCACAAAAUCUUAUGUUAUACUUAAUAAAAGUAUGAAUAAACUAUUAAGUAUUAGUGAAUCUAUUGUUUUGAUGGGAUACUCAUUCUACGAAACUAGUUUCAAAGAUCCAACCGUCAAACAUGUUUGUAUAUACUUCGAGAUCGCAUACGUCAAAAAUUACAAAAAAACAAAUAUUCAGAGAUCAAUUAACGGGACAAAACUUUUCGACGGUUAUAAAAAGAAAAAUCACGAUUUAACGGUCAUUUUAACUCUGAUUUUGAUGAUUUUUUGCAGCUACACUCCUUGACCUUAUAUGAAUACAAUGAUUGAAUUCGAUCUUCAAUUUAAAAUAUUUACACUAGUACUUAAUAAAAGUAUGAAUAAACUAUUAAGUAUUAGUGAAUCUAUUGUUUUGAUGGGAUACUCAUUCUACGAAACUAGUUUCAAUGAUCUAACCGUCAAACAUGUUUAUAUAUACUUCGAGAUCGCAUACGCCAAAAUUGCAAAAAACAAACAUUCAGAGAGCAAGUAACGGGACAAAACUUUUCGACGGUUAUAAACGAAAAAUCACGAUUUAACGGUUAAUUUAACUCCAAUUUUGAUGAUUUUUUACAACUACACUCAUUGACCUUAUAUGAAUACAAUGAUUGAAUUCGAUCUUCAAAUUAAAAUAUUUACACUAGUGGAUACCACAAAAUCUUAUGUUAUACUUAAUAAAGUAUGAAUAAACUAUUAAGUAUUAGUGAAUCUAUUGUUUUGAUGGGAUACUCAUUCUACGAAACUAGUUUCAAAGAUCCAACCGUCAAACAUGUUUGUAUAUACUUCGAGAUCGCAUACGUCAAAAAUUACAAAAAAAAAACAUUCAGAGAUCAAUUAAUGGGACAAAACUUUUCGACGGUUAUAAAAAGAAAAAUCACGAUUUAACGGUCAUUUUAACUCUAAUUUUGAUGAUUUUUUGCAGCUACACUCAUUGACCUUAUAUGAAUACAAUGAUUGAAUUCGAUCUUCAAUUUAAAAUAUUUACACUAGUGGAUACCACAAAAUCUUAUACUUAAUAAAAGUAUGAAUAAACUAUUAAGUAUUAGUGAAUAUAUUGUUUUGAUGGGAUACUCAUUCUACGAAACUAGUUUCAAAGAUCCAACCGUCAAACAUGUUUGUAUAUACUUCGAGAUCGCAUACGUCAAAAAUUACAAAAAACAAACAUUCAGAGAUCAAGUAACGGGACAAAAGUUUUCGACGGUUAUAAACGAAAAAUCACGAUUUAACAGUCAUUUUAACUCCGAUUUUGAUGAUUUUUUACAACCACACUCCUUGAUCCUAUAUGAAUACAACGAUUGAAUUCGAUCUUCAAUUUAAAAUAUUUACACUAGUGGAUACCACAAAAUCUUAUAUUAUACUUAAUAAAAGUAUGAAUAAACUAUUAAGUAUUAGUGAAUCUAUUGUUUUGAUGGGAUACUCAUUCUAUGAAACUAGUUUCAAUGAUCCAACCGUCAAACAUGUUUAUAUAUACUUCGAGAUCGCAUACACCAAAAAGUGAAAAAAACAAACAUUCAGAGAUCAAGUAACAGGACAAAAGUUUUUGACGGUUAUAAACGAAAAAUCACGAUUUAACGGUCAUUUUAAUUCUGAUUUUGAUGAUUUUUUACAACUACACUCCUUGACCCUAAAUGAAUACAAUGAUUGAAUUCGAUCUUCAAUUUAAAAUAUUUACACUAGUGGAUACCACAAAAUCUUAUGUUAUACUUAAUAAAAGUAUGAAUAAACUCUUAAGUAUUAGUGAAUCUAUUGUUUUGAUGGGAUACUCAUUCUACGAAACUAGUUUCAAUGAUCCAACCGUCAAACAUGUUUGUAUAUAUUUCGAGAUCGCAUACGCCAAAAAUUGCAAAAAAUAAACAUUCAGAGAGCAAGUAACGGGACAAAACUUUUCGACGAUUAUAAACGAAAAAUCACGUUUUGACGGUUAAUUUAACUCCAAUUUUGAUGAUUUUUUUACAACUACACUCCUUGACCUUAUAUGAAUACAAUGAUUGAAUUCGAUCUUCAAUUUAAAAUAUUUACACUAGUGGAUACCACAAAAUCUUAUGUUUAUACUUAAUAAAAGUAUGGUAUAUUGUUUUAUUUUUUUUCAUAAUUAUUUUGGUAAACUUCUCAUAAUUUGAAUGAUUUUUAAUGUUUGGUUUUUCUAUGUUUAGUUUAUGCAGAAGAGAGUUAUGACGUGGAAAACCUUACUGAAAACAUCAUCAAUAUAACUCUUGAAGGCAAUAGAUCAAGCCAAAGUUCCAAUGCAAUUUCAUGAUGAUCGAUGUAAAUCGAGGAUUUUGUAAAUUGAGGUUUAAACUUUUGAGAAAGAUUUCACAACCUUGAAAACAAAAACUGUUUCAUUUUGCAUAUCCUUGCACAUUUAAAGUUUGUAAUAGAUUAGUAGUGUUUGUAUUAUUUUUUUAUUAGGCUCUUAUUUUUAAGUGUAGAUGUAGUACUUAAACGACAAAUGUAUUUUAAUGUUUUGAAGUAAUAUUUAUGUGGCAAUGUGUGGUAUGUGCAAAUUUAAGAAAAAAAAUAUAUUUUUCUUAACGGGUCAUAACGGGUCGGGUCACUUUACCCGUUGGGUAAAGUGACACGACCUGUUAAGGACCCGUUAAGAUAACGGGUGUGACACGACACGACCCGUUAAGAUAACAGGUGUUACACGAAAACGACACGAACACGACUGACACGACCCGUUUGCCAGACCUACCGGCAUGUUCUUUUUUAUGAAACAAGUUUUCCUUUUCAUAAUUUUUCAGUCCCUGUUUCUUCCACAUCUCUCAAUUCUCCUCUUCAGCAAUUCCCAUCAUCUCUCACAUUUACCACUCCCACUUCCAACCUACAACCUCAACCUCACCUACCAUCACCCCCACCUACAACCUUUGCCUUAUCUAGUUCUCCGCAACCUACUUCCCUCUCCACAGAAUUACAGGCUUCAUCACCCUCUAAUCCAACCUUACCAUAUCUUUUACCUUCCUCUAAUCAUCACCCAAUGCAGACAAGAUCAAAGUCUGGGAUAUUUAAACCCAAGGCUUUCACAGCCAUAAAGCAUCCACUUUCACCUCAUAUUGCUUCAUAUUAUACUCAUAACACCUAUCUGCAAGCAUCAAAACAUCUUCACUGGCGCCAAGCAAUGCAGGAGGAAUAUAAUGCUCUUCUCAGUACAGGUACAUGGUCUUUAGUUCCCUUUACAUCCUCUCAUAAUAUUGUCGGCUACAAGUGGGUAUUCCAAAUCAAAAAAAAGCCAGAUGGGUCUAUUGACAGAUACAAGGCCUGAUUAGUUGCUAAAGGUUUCAAUCAACAAAAGGGCUUGGACUAUUCUGAGACUUUUAGUCCAGUGGCAAAACCAGUUACCAUUCGAAUACUUCUCACUCUUGCUUGUCAAUUUGAUUGGUUUCUUAACCAACUUGAUGUUAGCAAUGCCUUUUUGCAUGGUACACUCACAUAAUACGUGUUUAUGCAACAACCUUCUGGUUUUGAGGAUUCCACCAAGCCAAAUCAUGUUUGUCAUCUUCACAGGUCUCUCUAUGGUUUGAAACAAGCUCCUCGAGCUUGGUAUGAAAAAUUGAAUGGUGCUCUGAUUUCUUUGGGGUUUAUUCGCUCCCAAAAUGACCAUUCCCUGUUUAUCAAAAGGGAUCCGCAGUUGGUAUUCAUACUGGUUUAUGUGGAUGACAUUUUAGUCACUGGACCCUUUUCUGUAGAAUGUCAAAAGGUGAUUACACAAUUGAGUAGUUUGUUCCCUGUUAAAGAUCUUGGCUCUUUACAUUAUUUCCUCGGCAUUGAGGUCAAGUGAUCAUCAUCUGGAAUCUUUAUUAAUCAGACCAAAUACAUUCUUGAUCUUUUGCAACAGUCUCACAUGGAUGGAGCAAAACCAUGUUCCACACCUCUCAAUACAGAAAAGCUUGAUCAUGAGUCUCCACUUCUUGACAAUGUUACUGAAUACAGGUCCUUGGUAGAGCCUUACAAUAUCUCACCUGGACUCGACCUGAUUUGAGUUUUGCUGUUAAUCUUGUUUGUCAGUACAUGCAUAGUCCCUGAGUCUCUCACUUUCAAGUUGUUAAAAGAAUCCUUCGGUACUUAAAAGGCUCUAUUGAUAUGGGUUUAUGGUUCUCUAAAUGCCCUGUUCCUUUGGCACUUCAAGCAUUCUCUGAUGCUGACUGGGCAAGAUGUUCUUUAGACAGGCGAUCCACUGGUGGUUUCUGUGUUUUCCUUGGCAGUUCUAUUAUUAGUUGGAGUGCUAAAAAGCAACCAACAGUAGCACGAUCUUCCACUGAAGCCGAAUACAGGUCUCUUGCUAAUAAUGCCGCAGAGUUGUCAUGGAUCUCCAAGCUUUUAGUUGAUAUUGGCUAUUCUCCUCCUUGUUCACCUCAGUUGUGGUGUGAUAAUAUCUCUGCCAUUUCUCUGGUGAAGAAUCCUAUUUUUCAUGCUCGCACGAAGCAUGUUGAAAUAGAUUAUCACUACAUAAGGGAGAAAGUGUUAGCCAAGCAACUUGUUGUCCAAUUUGUGUGUGCACAAGAUCAAGUUGCAGAUAUUUUUACCAAGUCUCUGUCCAAGUCCAGAUUUACCUUUCCCGACACAAACUCUCUCUUUGGGUUCCUCCGUUUAGUUUGAGGGGGGCUAUUAAGGAUGAAAGUGUAAAUAUCUCCUCAUUAGAUAAAACUUAGAGACUAAGUAAUUGUUACAGGUUUGUUAGGACAGUUAGUCAUUGUUGGACUUAGUUAGGACAGUUUGUUAGACUUGAUUUACAUGUAUAUAUACUCAAAUGUAAUCUUAUUGUUUUUUGAUUAAAUGAAAAAUACAUUUCUAAUAGGAUUGAUGUCUACAUAAUUUGAAAAUGUACAUAAUUUCUUUAUACGAAGUGUUUGUACUUCUCUGUAGGUUUAAUUAAGCAUAUCAAAAUCAACUAUCUACCAAUACACGCACUCGAAUACGCAUCAAAUGAUGUCAAUUUACAUAUGUCUCGAUUAAGCAUCCGAUUCAGCACCAUCUCCCAACAGGCCACCAGUCCAUUUUAUCCCCCUUUGCUCGUGCAAUCACAUCUUAUUCACCUCAUAUCUGCUGAAAGUAGGGAUUCUAAUUCCGUGUCACAAUUAUGAACUUCGACUAUAAAAUGGUUGAACUCUAGUAGAGGUAACAAUUGAGGCCAGACAACAGGAAGCAAACACUUUAGCGUGUAAGAUUAACAAAACCGAAAUGGCAUCACUCAAGCAAGAGAAACCUACUUCCACUCAACCCACUGCCGGGCAGGCCAAGAAAGAGCCUGCUCCAAAAGCUUGUUGUACCACACCCAAAGCUCCAGCCUCCAAACCCGACCCUAAGAAGGCUGAGACAAAGCCUAGGGAGCUUAAGAAGAGGGUAAGUGCCUAAAUACAUCGAUCCAUAUAUUUUCAUAUUUAUUGGGCACCAAACAUGUGCUUAUUAACACCUUAAAUUUUGUUUUGCGACGGUUUUAUCAGACAACAGGAAGCAAGCCUGCAGCCAAGAAUUAGAUGAAAGAAACGGUGUGAGGCGAGGAGUGCAUGAAGAUGCUGAAUCACUGUGGUCCUCCAUAUUCUGAUAAUAAUAUGUCUCUCCUUUUAGGCUUGGCCUGAUAAAUAAAAGAGAACUUUAUUUUAGAGGAACAUUUGCUUGGUAUUUGCUUAAACUACAUGAAAUAUUAAUUUGCAAACAUAAAGCAUUCAGAAGGGUGUUCAUAAAUAUGAACCAGAAUAUGAAGAUACUGAGAAAGUUCAAGUGUUAAACCAUUUAAAAAAUAUUUUUAAAAAAUGGGCAGAUUCUGUAUGUUUUCAGUAUCCGAAGACCUCCAAAAGGAAUCGGCCAUUUACUUUCUAAUAUUAGACAAUGUUUUAAGUGAACUGAACAACUUUGAUCACAAGGAUCACAAGAAAUUAAAGAUAUCAAAAUUCAAUAGAACUGAAGUUUCUUGGUACAAAUUAGGGGUUUGAUUUUGUGCUAAAAAUUAAAGGAUGACUAGUCCAACAGAUAAAUGCCAGAAUUGAACGCAUGUUGAAAGUAAAACAUAAAAUAAUAUGCUAAAGAGAAAUUGAUAAAAGGUGAAAUAGAAAGCAGAUUUAUGAGAUUAAGCGGCACUAAAUUUGCGAACUUUGAUGCAUCGUAUGACCGGGAAAUAUGAGAGACUCUGCAGUGCUGUAUAAGCUGUCAUGAAAAACAUGCACCAAGCUUUUUUCUUCUGUUUUCUAGUUGGCUAAAGAUCCUCUGCAUAUACCGGCCUGUUAUUCGAUAAAAUCAGAUAUAUGCAACCCAAUAAGUUACAAUGUCAAUGCAAAAAUCAAAAUAGGGAAGAAGAAUAACAAGGACCUUCUUCAUUCCUAGCCAGUUAAGACAAUGAAGAAAUACUUAACGAUCUCCAUUUCUACAACUCAUACAAAAGGAUCUCCUUUUUCUCAUAAAAAAUGAAACUAAGAAUGUAUGGAAAUGAGCAUUCAUCUCAGCCCUUGCCUUAGAGAAUGUUGUAUAUACUGUCACCAUACAUAAAUUAAUAAUUUAAAUCACUCUGCGAGGGCCUGUGCAUAGCCAAUUUGACAAGAUAGAGCAGUCAAACUGUUGGAAAAUAUUAGUAUUUAGGUUUACUUUAAUGUUUUGUUUUCUGGGCUUAGCCCGUUAGCAUUAGGGUUUAGGGUUAGUUUAUUAUAAAUAGAGUGUUUUGUUAUUCAUUAGAUAUCAAGCUAUUCACAAUGUAGUCUCUUAGGGUUUUGUAGCCGUUCCGGCAUUCUAGUUUGUUUAAUAAUAUUCUUAUUAAUUUGUAGUCUUAUUCGUUGUGCACUCUGAUAUUCAACUUGGUAUCAGAGCAGGUUUGAUCUUUCGGGAUUUAAUCUAUUCUUCUUGAUAGGUAUCCAUGUUGUUUGUUUGAUAAUAGUUUUCAGUGUUUGUUUUGAAAAGAAAAAAAAUUUGAUUAUGUUUGCUCGGACGACCCACCAGAAUCUGCCCCACUUCCGCUGCAUCGUCACCCAGCCAUCAGCCUUCGUACCAGGUCUGCAACUAGAAACCCAGCACAUCUGUUGUUCGUAUCCAACACCAGCCGCAUCACCACACAGUUUCCUGCACUGCAUCCGCACCCUUUGAUCGGACCCGCACCACUUGCACCUCCGCACCAGACCCAUGAAAUCGUCUACCCACCACUGACUGCGCUGCCUUCGCACCGUACCCGCAUCCUCGCCGCCGCUUUGAUCCGCACUUCAUCGCCUCUACUUUCCCAUCGCGUCAAGAAUCCCAGAAUUGAGAUCCCAUACUGCACUUGGAUUUGUUUUCUCUGGAGAACACUGCCCAGAUAGAAGAAGAGAAUAAGGAAACAGAAGUCGAAAAAUAGAAGAAGAAAAAAUGAAAAAAAAGGAAAAGAAAGAAAAAGAAAAACCGUUGUCCAAUACAAGAAAAAGUUAUAUUGUUUGUUGGAGAGGAAAGCAUUCGAAAGGUCCCAGGAGAAAGAAAAAAAAAUUGCUGUUGGUUUAGGCCCACACGGGCAGAGAAAAAAAAAAGUUAUGGUUAAGUUUGUUUGAAGGCCCACACAAGUUGGUGGCGUUGUUCGUUUGUUGCUACAAUUGAGAUAUGAAAAUCUCGUCCGUUUAGUGACGGGUUCUUUCCAUACUCUCAACUCUAGUCAGUCGGAACCACAAUCAGUUUGCCAGCAAGAAUCAAGUCAAGUUUGCUAGUCAAGUCAAGUUCGCAAGUUCACCAGUUCGCAAGUCAAGUCAAGUCAAGUUUGCAUACCUGCCUGUCUGUCUGUCUGCGUUGCGGAGCCUGCCUGUCUGUCUGUCCGCAUUGCGGAGCCUGCCUGUCUGUCUGUCUGUCCGCGUUGCGGCGGAGCCAGUCUGCAUCUGCUUGUUUGCAAACCCAUGUCGUAUACCGCCAUGAGUUUGACGGGGGUGUUGGAAAAUAUUAGUAUUUAGGUUUACUUUAAUGUUUUGUUUUCUGGGCUUAACCCGUUAGCAUUAGGGUUUAGGGUUAGUUUAUUAUAAAUAGAGUGCUUUGUUAUUCAUUAGAUAUCAAGCUAUUCACAAUGUAGUCUCUUAGGGUUUUGUAGCCGUUCCGGCAUUCUAGUUUGUUUAAUAAUAUUCUUAUUAAUUUGUAGUCUUAUUCGUUGUGCACUCUGAUAUUCAACUCAAACCCCUUUGCACCUAACUUCGAAUUCAUCCACGUCGUUUAGAUUAGAUUAGAGUAUUGCUUGAAUAAUGUAUGUUACACUAUCACUCAGCGGGUUUUCAAUUUUGCCAAUGGAUGUGAUUUUUGAGCCCCAAAGACUAGUCUUCAACAUUUAGUUAUGUAAAUAUUGGGAUAUUACUUAAUUUUACAGAAGUUUCGUUGAUCGGAUUAGGAGCAAUGGAUCAUAAUAGUUUUUCUUGAUUAGUGUAAUUUCACUACUAUAUGCACUUGCUAUUACAUAAUGAAAUUCCAGAAGACCCAAAAAGUCCAAGAAUCACACAAUUAUUUAUGAAAAGAAUCAUAUAAUUAGUUCUUGAUCGCAUGUUAAAACGUCAUUCACAACCCAUUUGGUGAAAUUCGAUCUCUCAUAAUUUCAGUAUAUAUCAGUAAGCAAGCAAAAGCAUCUGAUGCCAACAGCCUUUUAAGUGCAGCUAUGCUUUCUUUGCCAAUACUGGUUAUUCCAUUCUCUUCCAAACACCUUUUAUCAUAACUUGUUAUUCUAAUUCCAUUUCUACACUUGUGCCCUGCACUUAUAAAAAGGGUAGUUUCAGAAGCAGCCAAUAUUCACAACACACACGUUAAAUUUUUCGUAUAGUUGCGAAAAGAGAGUUAAUUUAGAGAAGUAUGGCAUCAAUGAAGGCGGAAAGGCAAGUCGGCACUCAGCUGUUUGGGCAGGCCAAGAAAGAACCUGCCGUUGCCAAGGCUGGUGAUGCCAAAGCUCCGGCAUCUAAAGCCACCCCAAAGAAGGCUGCAGCCGCACCAAAGUCUCCGGCACCC
Molecule: long non-coding RNA, 47904 nt
Filed under: Malus domestica (apple)
Lineage: Eukaryota; Viridiplantae; Streptophyta; Magnoliopsida; Rosales; Rosaceae
Description: long non-coding RNA (MDOM_LNC011782)
Source: RNAcentral